RNAcentral lists this long non-coding RNA (62970 nucleotides) under Lactuca sativa (garden lettuce). RNAcentral's name for it is "long non-coding RNA (LSAT_LNC001009)". The record is from RNAcentral. Lineage: Eukaryota; Viridiplantae; Streptophyta; Magnoliopsida; Asterales; Asteraceae.
UCAAGUGUUAUGGAUUUCAGACAAGGGAACACAACCUCAGUAGUAGUCAGUCUGGUUUCGGAAUCUUCAACUUGCUUCACAAUCACAUCCAUACUCUCGCAGUCACUUAUUUUUAGCUCUUGGAGCUGGAAUAGACUACCAACCAUGCAACUACUGAAAACGUGUCCAAGAAGCUUACAACUUACAAUUGAGACCUUUGUAAGGUUUGGAAAGUUCAACACUAUCCACCGAUUGCUCUUCCACACAUGCUUCAGAGUAUUUAUUCCACCCAAAGUCACCUCUUUCAGCUUCUCAAAUACCACAACAGAUUGCAUUCCAAUAUCCACAUCUUCAUUUGUCCCUUCUGCUACUUCAAAUACUUCCUCUAUUUUAGAUUCACCAUACUUCCUGGUAAUAGAAAGCUUUUCAAGAUUCUUCAAAUUAAGCAACUCCUUGCAUGGAAAAAUUAUGCGGCUUUCCAACAAUUUGUCAAUCCAUUGUGCAUCUACUUCAACUAAAUUUGAAAGAGACCACGGGAACUGAAGUAGCUUUAUCAAAUCUGGAGUAGAGCACAUAGGGAGUUGAGUCUGCUAAGAAAAAUCAAACAUAGAUAGAUCAUCACAAACACGACAAUUACUAAAGAAAAAUACAUUUAAUAUUACAAACAUAAUAAGGAUUGCAAGUUAUGUUAUUCUUCAAUGAGCCAACAUGUAUUUUCAAUCAACAACCUAGUUUAUGACACUGCUUACAUUAUAUUUUGUGAAGAUGAGCAUCAUGAAGAAAAUUUCUGCAUUAUAUAUUGCAUUUGCUCAAACAAUUUAGAUUGUUAUCGAUGAUUGUUGAGUCUUUUUAAAUAAAAGUAAAAAUUAUAGUUUGUGGGUGAGUGGGUAGGGAGGAUAAAAUAAAAAGUAAAAGUUAAGUGUUUUGGCUACUUCAAAAAGGGUAAUUUUUCAUGUACUGAAUAUUUACAUCCAAUUUUUUUAGGAAAAAAGAUAAUUAUGUUAUUGUAUUUUUUAUUGCAUUGUCAAAUACAACAAAUGAUAUAUGGAUGAUAUGCUUACACUUUUACAAUCAUCUCAGCUAUACUAUUUUCGUCAAUUUUAGGUAAUAAACGCUAAAAAAAAAUGUUUACCUUGUAAAAGAUGAGAGAGAAAAGAAGAACUUGAUUAAGUAACAACUAGCAUCACAAUAUUUAUAAAAUAUGUUAGAUAAUUGAAUUAAAUUGGAUGAAAACGAUAUAAAUGAUUUAAUUACAAUAUAUACUUCCAUACAAAAAUCUAUUUGUUAACAGAUAUGAGUGAAAAUAUGUAUAAUAAGGCAAUGCUUUAAUUUCCAUCUAUUUUGUGUUUUCUUUUCUUAACCGAAUGAAGAUGUUAGUUCUAAGUUCCUAAUUAAUGAUAUAUGACAAGUACCAAACGAUCACAUUCUAUGAAAUUUACAAAUGAUUUGAAUAAGAAUGAACUUGCCAAGUAUCAUUUGUAAUACACAAGAAAAUAAUUUUUUAUUUUCAUAUAUUUGAUAUAAAUUCUUAAGUCUUGUAUUUUUAAGGAACGUAACUAUUAUGUGAAUUUUAGAAGCACUUUUUCUUAGGUGCUUAUUUUGUUAUUCCUUUAAUUGAAUACUUGCCCAAACUCAGAGCCACUAGUUAGAUUGUUUGUUUUUCUACAAAGCGAUCAAUUUUUUGUCAAAUUAAAAUACGUUUUAGCGAAAACUGCAAAUUUGGUCCCUGUAUUUGUUGAUUUUUGUGGUUACAAUGGGGACAGUGUAAUAAAGAAGGGGUUGUUGAUCUGAUUCUGAUCAAACGGAAACUAGUAUUGUAUAUGUUCAGAAAUCUUUGGACAUGGAAAAAACCACCCUCAAUGAAUGCGUCAAUUGGGCUUUUUGUCUUUACUUCAUCUAACUUGAUUAAAAUAAUAAAUUGCUAACUUAUGAAUUAGUGAAUAUAACAUCUUUUAUAACAUAAGAGACAACUUAAUAUCUUAGGAAUGAAAUAUUAACUUAUAAUAAAAAAAUAAAAUUGCAUAUUUUCGUAACUUUUUAUAGAUACAAAAAAUGGGAAGUGGUUAUAUAUGUAUCUUCAUUUGGUUUUGUUUGUGUUUCCUUCCGGAAUACACAUAUGAACCGACUAAAUUAGUAAGCAAAUAAUAUGUUGAACAUCAUAAAACGACAUCCUGAUCACCUGGUUAAAUGAUGAAGUAAGGUAACAACAUACCUCAUGUGUAGCAUUGGUCAAAUGGAAGUUGAGGCCAUAUUGAUCAAGACUAUGCUUGCCUAAUUCUGUAUGUAUGUAAUUGAGCUUCGGAGUCAUGGAGUGACCAGAUGUGAAAUUCAUCAUUUGUGGGCAGCCAUAAAUCUUAACCUUUUCCAAUGCUUUCCACUUGAACUCAUUCUUCCCCAAGAAGAAACCCUUGAGAUCUGGUAAAUCUGCAAGUGUAAGGGACUUGAGACGAGGGAAGAAACCCUUGAGUUCUGGUAAAUCUCCGUCUUCCUUCACAAUCACUUUCACUGCCUUGCAUUGUUUUACAGUCAGUUUUUUGAGUUGCUUGAGGCUUUCAAGUGUGGAACUUGUGAUUAUAUAUUCCAAUACUUCACAUCUUUCUAUUUCCAAUAUCGUUAGGUUGGGCAAUUGAAGCAGAGUCAUAUUGGCCGACCUUGGGAUGGUGAUUGCAGUACAAGUAUCAUCACUUCCAUCACCAACAUUCGUAGUACUAUCAACACCAUCUUUUUUUAUUUCUUUACUUUCAAAUAUCUCCACCAUUGACUUACAUUCUUCUAUUCUCAACUCUUCAAGCUUAUUCAGUUGUCCCACUACAUUGGAUGGAAACACUCUUGAUAGGGCAGGGCAAUUCUCUAUAUAAAUCUUUUUGGAGUAUUGGCAUAAGAGCCAAGAAGCAACACCGACUUGAGAACACUACAACAACACAUGAAAAAUCAAUGGAGCUGAUUAAAUUAACAAAGCUUAGCUGUUUUCUAGGUACAUGCACACUACAAUCUAACACAAUAUUUGUUUCUAAGAAUGUAGUUAUAACCACAAGUGCUUCCCACAACUAAGGUAGUUCAGUAACAACGUCGACAAUGUAAGUUGAACUACAAAAGGGCAAUAUACAGAAAAAUCACUAUAUUUCGGCCAUCUUUUUUGCAGUUUAACAACUCCAUUUCAGUUUUAGCUCAUCAAACCUACCCAAGUUUGAAAUUUCUUUCUAUAUUGACAAAUUUGACCUACUAUAGCAGGUUAAAGUGGUCAUAAUUGAAAAGGUUGUCAAUGUUUAGUCCACUUUAUUUCACCAAAGCCACUCAACUUUGACAAUAUUUCUCCAAACUUGGGUGGAUUUCAUAAGGCAAGCUGAAGUAGAGUGCCAUGAUUUAUGAAAAGAAUAUAAAUGGCAUUGGACUUUUAACAAAUUCCAGGUCACCACUGGCGUGACACCUCAGCAGAAACUUUUAUGAGGUUCUGAUGGUGACAGACAGAAUGAACGACAUGAGAUGAGUAGAAAGAUCAUAUGAAGUAUACUUCUGAAAGACACAGAAUCAGCAUAAGGAUAGAAGACUACCUGUGAAAAAUUCAAAUGGUUUACAAGACAAAGUUCAUGUUGGAUUUUAUGGUGAAAAUUUGAAUUAAGAGAAAUCAGACUGUGGUGUUUGGACUCCACUCCAUUAAGGAAGACGGUUUGUCAAAUGACCAAAAUACCCUUGUUAUAUGUAUAACCAAAUAACNAACUAAAAACAAGAAAUCAGUUGUAUGCUAUGCUUUAUGUUGUUGGCAAGAGAGAACAAGUAGAUGGUGGAUGAAAGAAAAGGUAUACUAAAUCAAUCAUAAAAGUGGCCUUAAUUAUAUAGGCUUACAGGAGAUUUUGAACAGCUACAAAAAAGAAAAUAGAAACAAGAAAAAACAAAACUGCCAGGGUGCUAAUUAACACAAUUAAUUAGCAUUUAUUCAAAUUAAAACUUGAAAAUGAACAGACUUUGAUUAGCAAUUAAUCAACAUAUAUAUUUCAGGCGUGUCUGCUGGAACACGUGUAUAAACACAUACAAGCAUGAUAAAAACCGUAAAAUAUACAAAAUAUUGUAACUCUGAACUUUACUUGUCUGUAUUGAAGAAUGGAUAAAUGCUAGAAAUAGCAACGCAUUUCCAUUUAUUAUUUUAUUAAAGCAUCCUACUUUCAUUUCUUUCUAUUACAGCAACAGAAAUCCUUUGUAUUUAGAUGACACUGCUGAAAUUGGGUGGGUUUCUUAAAGUACAAUGCUUUAAUAGGAAAAAGUGAAAGUAAGAUGAUCUGAUAAGCAAAUCGAUAAAAAAAAUUGCUACUUUCAUAUAGGUACUUUCAAAAUCCACCCAUUUAUAGCAUUUUACUUUCAACUUUUCUUUUCAGGCCAUUGUAGCCACAUAUUAUUGGGUAUAUUUUUCAAAGUAUGAUGCUAUAACUGGAAUAAAUGAAAGUAGGAUUUUAUAAUAAGAAAAUAAAGGAAAGUAUGUUGAACAAAAAAAAUGACUAAAAUAUACCCAAUUCAAAAUUAGUAUAGUGCCAUGAUUUAUUUAUGAAGAGAAAACAAAUAUCAUUGGACUCUAUAUAUAACCCAUUACCCCCUCAAUGUGAGAAAACGAAAACAUAACAUUACUUCUAAAUUUAUUAUUCAGAAAUGAGUUUGCAAUCAAUAUGCUUAUAUUUCCGUACUUGCACUGAUUACAUGCAUCAUCUUCUUCAUGUUAAUUUAUUAUACAUCUAUGAAUUUUCAUUAAUUGUAUACUGUAAAAUCUAUCUUAAUUCUAAUAUUCUAAAAAGAUCGAAAGCAUUUUUAGAACAAAGAUUUUUUCAAGGGAGUCCUUUUCAGUAAAGACUUGGUUAAUUAUACUUGAUAAAUUAAGAUCUAGAGAUAUUUCCAAAAUUGACACUCUUGACAUUUGACUCUGAUAGUUCAAUGUCAUAAAGUUAGUUAAUAUUUUAAAUAUGACACUUUUCUGGUACAAUAGAAGUUGUAAACAGGAGCCUUUUGCCACAUAUUGUAUUUAUAUAUUUUCAGUUGGCACACGAGAUACAGUUAUGUAAAGUUUCAUAUUCUUUUGUUUGAUGUCAGCAAAAAAAAUAUUUCUUUUAAACAGCAAACCGAAUUCUAUUAAGCCAAACUAGCGCAUGCUAGGAAACAAAAAAAAAUGCAUCAAUAAAAUCAUUUUUGUUCUAUUUUUCAUGACUUAUAUACAUCAAUCAAUCAAAUUUUUUCUCUCCCUCACAAUCCGCUCUUAUCAUAAAUCAAUUUAAUGACCUACGCAAAUGAAAAAACUAUUAAAUAUUAUGCAUGCAGUUAUUCAUUUUUGUCUUUCCAGCUUCAGAAGUAUUAGCUAAUGGAGUUAUAUCACACAACUAAUGGAGAAGAGAAUAUUAAAAAAAAAAAGAAAUAAAACAAAUAAUUGAAAACAUAAAGGUGCUAAUUAACACAACUAAUUAGCAUUCAUUCAAAUUAAAACUUGAAAAUGAACAGACUUUGAUUAGCAAUUAAUCAAGAUAUAUUUCUGGUGCAGAAUCAAAGUAUGACACAGGAAGUGGACAUGGUGGUCAUUAUAAUGGUUAGUCUCAACUUCAAAACUAAAAAAGACAAUGAAUAUGAGAUAUAAACAAAUGCAAGCAUGAUAUAAACCAUAAAAUAUACAAAUAUUUCACCUAGAUUUAUAGCUAUGAAUUUUACUUGUGUGUACAAAAGAAGGGCUAAAUGCAAGAAAUAGAAACGCAUUUUUAUUUAUUCGUUUGUUAUAGCAUCCUACUUUCAUUUCUUUCUAUUGCAGAAAUAGAAAUCCUUUGUAUUUGGAUGACAUUGCUAGAAUUGGGUGGGUUUCUGAAAGUACAAUGCUUUAAUAGGAAAAAAAUGAAAGUAGGAUGCUCUUAAUUAUAAGCAAAUAAAUGGAAGUAAAUUGCUAUUUCUAUCAUUUUAGCCUUUAAUAAAUGACACAAGACCACCAUAUUGGUGCUAUAAUUGGUAUAUUUUUCAAAAAAAAAAAAAGCAUCAAAAAAAAGACAUCAAUAAAAUCAUUUUUGUUCCAUUUUUCAAAUUACCUAAUAAAAAAUCAAGAAUAAUGUCGAUAUGACUUAUAUGCCUCUAUCAAUUAAUUUUUUUUCUCUCCCUCACAAUCCGGUUUGAGUCCACCAUCCAUUUUAGUUAAUUUAACUAAAUUAAACUGGAUACAAAACAUUUUAAAUGAUUUAUAACCAUGCUUAUCAUAAAUAACUUUGUGAACUAUGCAACCGAAUAAAAUUUAAAAAAAAAAAACAAAAAAAAAAUUAGGUAUGUAGUUAUUUAUUUUGUGUUUCUAGCUUCAGAAGAAUUAGCUUAGGGAGUUAUAUAAAGCAGCUAAAGGAGAAUAGAAUAUUAAAAAAACGAAUAACUGAAUAUGUAAAGGAUUUGCUUAAAAGAAAUCAAAUAUACCUGGAACUGAUCAUGGAUGGAAGUAGUUGUGAUCGUAGUACCGCCAUCGAUGCUCUUUAGACUUGGCAGAGAAUUAAGGGAGAGACCUUGAAGAAAAGGGAAGGAGGAGAUGGUGUUUGUGUGAGUAGAAGAUAUUAUUUCUUCAUUUUCAUCAUUAAUAUCUCUAUUUGAAACAACUUCUUCAAUACCAUCACACCUCCAUAUCCUGACCACCUUUAAGUUGGGAAGAAGUUUGCCCAUGACAGGUGAAAAUAAGUACUUUAUGCUUUUGCAGUAACUCAUGGAUAUUUCUGUGAGGUUGUGGAAUGAGUAGGAUUGUGAUUGGUUUUGAGGAAUUACAAGUUUCUUCCAAUUGCACUUCCACACAUCACUCAUCCUCUCCAUAUCCCAUAAAUAUAAUUCCUUGAGGUGGGGAAGUAGUAGUGGUGGUGGUUGAUGAUUAUAUUUAUGCAGAGUUUUUGUCAAAUAUGUGUUAUUGAUGCUGCUGCUACCGGAACUCUCUAUCUCAAACACCACUUCAACAUCCUUACAGCCACCAAAUAUCUCAAGUCUUUGAAGGUGAUUAACGUGAAAAGGUUUGGGAUGAAUUGAGGAUUCAACGUCAGGAAUAUUACCAUCCACCUCUGAAAUGAUCUCUGCCUUGGAUAUAACAUUAAUCUGCACAUAUCUCAACAACAAAUAUAAUUACAAAUCUCCUACAAAUAAAUAUGUAAAAUACACGCACUUACACAAAUACGUAAAAAUGAUAUUUUUCACAAGAAAUUACAAAAUUGGUCCCUGUGUUUAUCUCUUCUCUCUCUUUUUUUUUUUUUUGGUUUAGGUCCAUCAAAUUGUUUAGGAAUUUUGGUCCCCAUUAACUUGCUUAUAAAUAUGCAAAUAAUAAUAUGAAGGUUAAAACAGAUCCACACUUUUAGCAAUGUGGGAAAUAUAGAAUACUUCUCCAAACUUAAAAGUGUUGUAGUGACAUAGGUAAUUUGUCCAUGUUUUUAAAUUUGGAGUUUUAACUUUUUCUUUAUCACAUACUGAAGUGUAAAGAUUUAGAAAUAAUUUGUCAGGAUACAUCUCUUCACGCAAAUUAAUAAUCUUAUUGCACUUUAAAGUGUGAACACAUCCAAAGAAUUGUGUAGAAUUGUAGUGUGAUAUGUAUAUACGUGUAUGUACGUACAGAGACACAUAUACAUAAGUGCUCUAGCAUCAAAAUAGAAAUAAAAAUAGAAAGCUCAAUGAUAUCACAUACCUCUUGGUUGUUCUGAACCAAUUCAAUGUUUCCCCUGGUUUCUUCCCAAGUUCUCCUACCAUCUAUACUCACUUUCAUAACUGUUCUCACAUCAGAAUUGGUCACGGUAGGUGUGAAUACGUUUACAAACCUCUCACAACUUCUUAUUUCUAUCCUUUCAACAGCUUGAAAGCUACGGAUGAGGAUAUCAGAGCUACUUUCACCUUUCAUCCUCCACAACUCUCUUAUCUUCCCCAAAUUAUGUACUUUAAUGAGUCUCAAGUUGCUACUGUACUCUUCAAUUUCACCAACACAACUCAUGUCGAUGUUAAAUAACACUUCAAUGCUUCCACAAUCAGAAACAUCCAGCUCUUCCAGACGACCCAGCAAAGACAUGGGAUUGGUUGGAAACAGAUUCACAAGAUUAUCACAUUUCUCUACUUCAAUCGUUCUCAACAUGCAGGCAUUAACUUCGUCACUACUACUAAAUUGAUAAGGCCAUAUCUCUUUCAGCUUAUCCAUCCUCCAAAUCCCCAAUUUCUCCAACUUAGGAAUCAGCAUCUGCACAACAAUUAAGACAUGUUGAUAAUUGUAGUGAAAUCAAACUUAAAAUAGUUUGUUUGGGGGAUCACAAAUUCACAAUCUAAUCAAUACAGAUUUUCAUUACAAAGAAAAUCUAUGAAACUGUCAACAUAAAUCCUAAUAUAGAGGUACCUGUUUGUUAAAGAAUGGUUGAAUUGCAGAAGCAUUACUGGACAUCGAAGAUGUUGCAGAUGUUUUCUCUGGAUAAAUGCUACUGAAAUUAGGAAGGCCAUCAAGUUCCAACUCCACCAGCUGUGGUAGCUCAAUUACAUUAGCAGUGUUGCAAAGACCUAUCAACUUUGGUAGCCUAUCCAAUCUUAGAAACUUUAGCCCCUGAAACUGAAUUGCACAAUAUCCACCAUUCUCACUAUGUGCAAGUAUUUCAAGAACAGAGCACUCUGAAACUGUGAGGUGCUCAAGCUUCACCAAACCAUUUGCAAUUGGGACUGUAAAGAGGUACCUCAAGUUUUCACACUUGAACACAUCAAGGACUCUUAUAUUAUUAAACGCCUGCUGAGGGACAUGAACUGAUUCCAUUAAAACUUCUUCAAGAUCGUUCAUACCAACCACCUCCAAAUAAAGCACUUCAGUUUUCUUAAACAACUCAUUGAUGCUAGAUUCCAAUAACUCAUCUUUAUUAGUGACCAACCUCAAUGUGUUUUCAAAUGAGUGCAUAUUUUUGUUGGUAUUGUCUACUAAACCACAUCCCAUAGAGAUCCUGAACCUGUUAAGUUUAGUAAACAACAUAUUCUCGGGUGUACUGUUGUUGUCAAAGAACUCAACUUCUAAUGCAGAAAGGUGCUUUGAAAGCUCUGCUAAUUCAGCAUAAUUUCCAUUUGUGAACCUGAUUGCCUUUCUAUCAUCAACUCUCAUAUAAAGCUCUUCAAGCUCGACCAAAUUUAUCAAGACACCAUCAUCAAUACGAAGAUUAAGACACCCUGUCAAAUCCAGUAGCUUUAGCUUCUUCAACUUUCCGAUUGUGGAUGGUAAUUUUCUGAUGCCACAAUGAGCAAAAGCACUUCCAAAUUCAAUAGUUCACCAAUUACAGAGCAAUCAAACAUCAAUAAGCAUUGAUGGAGAAUGAGUGUUCGUAGCUUGGUGGAGCAUUCAAGUGAUAUGGGAAGCAACGGAUAAUGCAUUUUUUCAUAUGCUACAACUUCAAGAUUUUCCAUUCUUUUAUAAAAAUCUUCAGAGAACUUAAGCGACUUAUCUCCAUCCAUAAGUCUCAAAAGUGAAAGGUUUGGGUAUUUAAAGUCACCAGGAAACUCAGACAUUCCUGUGCAAGUAAUAGAAACUCUUUUGCAAGAAUCUUUCACUUCAGCUCUACUCCACUUUGAAAUAUCACCAUGGUUGAUCAUCCAUGGAUGGUCACCUUUAGAAACUCUACUUAACACAAAAGCAAGCACAAGAUCAUGCAUUUUGACACACCCAAUAUAAUCGCUAUCCAUCAACAAAUUUGCAUUUCUAAGAUUCUGCACACACGUUUUUGUCCUGUCUCUAGCCUCUCCCAAAGUAGAAACUUCACUUAACAAACGUAGGCCCCAUGCAUAUCUUGUGAGUUCCUCGAUUGGAAUAUUAAAGUCAUCAGGAAACAAGCCACACAAAAGAAAAAUCAGCUUUUCCUCCUCUGUUUUUAUAUAGUCAUAGCUUAUCUUGAUAACUUCUUGCACAUUCUCAUCAAGAUUCUUCUUCUUCAACCUUUGAAAAGUAUCUCUCCAUACAAAAACUUCUUGAAAUCGAAGGGUUUUGGCGAUGAGUUUAAUGGCAAGGGGCAAAAAACCACAUCUUCUCACAAUUUCACUUCCUAUUUGAUUGAGCUCCAUAUCAUGUUGUUGUGAAACUCCUGUGAUUUUCCAAAAGAAAUUUUGUGCUUCGGGCUCCUCCAUCACAUCCACUCGAACUAGUGUCGAAUCCGAAUUAGCUUCUACUGCAAUUUGUUUGCAAAUAUUUUCAUUUCGUGAUGUCAGCAACAACUUGAAGCCGUUGGGCAAAGGACUCAAUCCAAUAUCUUUGAGUUCAAUUGUUUCCCAUACAUCAUCUAAUAUUAGUAAAACCUUUCUUCUACCUUCUGGAAGGUUUCCAAAUGUUAUACGAAGACGAUCUGCUCUUGCUUCUUUACUGGGUUCAGUGAGGGAUUGGCCCAUCAUGUACACUGCCACAUCUUGCUGAAUUUUAGACAUGUUAAUUUGUUGCCCAAUAACCAUCUUCACAACAUAAUCAAACAUUUUCUUAUCUUCUGCAGCCUUUUUCAGUUGCUCCAUCAUGGUGGUUUUCCCCACACCACCCAUUCCACAUAGGGCUAUCACUUUGCUCUUGUGAUCUUGUUGGAGGGACUCCAAGGCGCUCUUAAAAGACUUUUCUCUUGAAUUGAAGUGAUUUUGGGCAUCACCAUCCAAAGGAACAUAACUGGAUGUGAUUUUCGAGUUCACUUUCCCAAGAGGUCUUUGAGUAUCACUCCAAGUUAUCUUACUACUUUCAUCCAUAAGACUUUCCAUCUCCUGCGUGAUCUUGAAUGCAUUCCUACCUGCUUGAUACCUCAUUUUCAUGUUGAAACAUCCAUUCCCGGUGCUUGAAAUGCUUUGAGCUUUUUCUUUAGUCUUUUCGACUUCUUCCAACCAACCCGGUACACGAGUAGGUAUCUCCAGAUUUUUUCUAUAGUUUGUGUCCAUUUGCUUUUUGACAUCACUGCUUGUACCAUCCAGCUGCUUCAUUUUAGUAUUCAUGUUCCUAACAUGUUUCAUGGAGGAAAAGAGAUAUCCCAACUGUUUCUUCACAGGAGCGAUUAAAGAUUCAACAAUAGGACCAAUUAUUGCAGAUGCAAACUCCAUCUUUUAAUAUUCUAGCUUUUACAAAGACCUGUAACAGAUAAAAAAAGACAAUGAAAUUGUUAAAAGUUAUUAAUUAUUAACUUGCUUAGCUAUCUUUUUUCAAUUAUCAUAUAUAAUCCAUAGAUAAUUAGUGUUAUAAAAGUUUCCCUCAGGAUUUAGGACACAUGACACGUUUGGCUAGAAAAGAAUUGGUAGUUGGUAAAUUAAUGUAUAUGAAAAUUCACAGUUAAUUUGCUGCUUGUCUUCCCUUGUCAACUUAGCCUUGGUUUUUUUUUAAAUGAUUGAAAGUGGGAAUAGAUUAUUAAUUUCAACAUCUUCAUCAUCAUGUGAAAUUGUGAAAGAUGAGGAACAAAAUAUGGUGCCUUUUAAUUAGAGAUUUAUUAGUUGUAAACAGAGUCCUACAGUGAUAUUAAGGCUAGAACUGAUCUCUAUGUGAUCUGUCCUAAAAAAAACAUUCCUCCAAAACAUUGUUCAAUAAUCAAAAGAGGGAAAUGAGGAGGCACUGUCAUUCAUUUAAACAUUUACUUGAUUUAUAUGUGGAGCAUAGAAGAACAAUCCACAACGAGUAACAAAGCAAACAUUUUUUUUUCAGAUAACUUCGUCAAGGAUCGAUAGAUUCAAAACAAAUAACAGCUAAGAAAAGUUAUUCAUAAACAAAGAGAAAAACUUUCAACAAAAACGUACCUCGCUCUACUAUAUGCGCCUGUGCUAAUGCUUGCUGUUUUUGUUGCUUUGUAAAGUGUGUAUGUGAACAAGUGGUUGGAAUUGUGAAGAAGGCCAAUAUAUCAAGUAUGAACAAGCAUCAAUUAUUGCUGUUGCGCUGCAAAUACCACGGAUUUGGAUGAAUGGAAGUAAUGCAGUCUCAGUCAUAAUCAAGGUACUAACAGCAUAGCGUAACGUACUACAGGGUACAGCUCAAAUAAUACAGUCAACAGUCAACGGUCCCACAGAUUGAUAUUGAAGCACGAUACAAUGUUGGAUCCCUACCCUACCUUAAAUUGUGAUAUUUCAUAUACACCACAUAUAUAUCAUCCUGAUUUUGGGGCAUCCUUUUGCAAAAAAGAAAAACAGAAUUUGUUAAAAAUUUCAAAAUAAUUGUAUNUGGGCAUCCCUUUGCAAAAAAAGAAAAACAAAAUUUGUUAAAAUUUUCAAAAUAAUUGUAUUUAUUGGGAUGAUUAUUAGUUGGUCACAUAUUUGAAGAACCUUAUUGUAAUCGUAAUAAUCUAAUUUAACACUAAAACAUGUGUUUUAAAAAAAAAAAAAAAAAACAUAUAAUAUUAAAUUAAAUGGUUUAAAAUAAUAAGAAAAAAUAGUUCAAACUAUGAAUAACAAAAUGAACGUUGUCAAAAAAGUCGAGAACAUUAUCACUCAUAAAUAAUUUCUUAUGAAUAGAUAUUUACAUGUAAAAUGUAAAUAUAAUAGGUAUGUUCAUAGCAAGAUUUUAAUAACUUUUUUUAGUUUUAUUAAAAAACUCGAGUUAAAGAAAAAAAUUAUUUAGCGUUAUGAGUAUUAAACUUCCACUUCAAAUAGAUUUUAGUAUCUUUUAAUUUUUUUAAAUUUUACACCUUUAAAUGUUAAAAACAACUUUUUGAAUAACAAUUAUACAUGAAUUUUCGAAGCCAACAAACUUCACACGGUUGGUGGGCAAUACUUAGGGGAGGAGUCAUGUAAACCUCCUCAUGCAGAUCAUCAUUCAAAAACACAUUCUUAACAUCCGUUUGGAAUAUCUUCACUAACAAGUGGUUGUAACUGUGUUAUUAGAGUAUGAUGUUCAUCAUUUUUGUCAUCAAUUUUUGUGUGAGUUAAACUAAUCAUUCAUAUGAGUCUAGUGAAGAGUCGUAAGUUCCUCUAUUAAAGAAUUCUACCAAAGGAGAUCAUAAACGGCUUCUCUAUAGGACUCAGUUUCUAACAUAUUAUGUAUAUUGGCAAUAAAUGAAGCAAACAAAGAUGAAUAAGAAAACUCCAUGAGUUUGGUAAACUUACAAGUACCGAUGGACUUAAAAUGUGGUGGAAGAUUCACAGUCACGAUCAAGGUUGUAGAACUCGCUACUCGGUACUUACUUGGCUGACAGUCGAGUAGGGAGUACUCGGAUUCGGUAAUUCAUGUAGAAAUAUUUUUUAGGAAAAUUAUAUAUGUCAAAAUCAUAAGUUGAUUGAUAUAACAAAAUUAGAUACAUGUGAAUACAUAAAAAUUAAAGUACACAUAAUGGUCUCAUUUUGUGAAUAAUUACUAAAAAUUUAAGAUAUAUAUGUAGUAACAAUCACAUGUGUGUAUGUUAAAUAAUAAAUCACCAAGUGUAUUAUACAUAUUAAUCUUCAAAUUCUUGAUUUUUUUCUCUUUUCAAGACAAUUUUGACCAUUUAACCGAGUUUGACCGAGUUGGUCUGAGUUUGACGAAUUUGGUCUGAUUUUCGAGUUAUUUGGCCGAGGUUGCUUAACUCGCAUUAAUAAGAGGCCGAGUCUGAGUACUCGACCGUGUACUCGCCCGAGUUGGCCGAGUUUUAUAACACUGGUCACAGUAUGUAAAGAAGCAGUCUCGAUAAUAGGAGGAACUUGAGAGAUGUAUGAUGUUGUGGGCAUAUUAUAAAUUGGGUCAUCAUAUUCAAUGUUAUCUCUUUAUUUCAAAUGUACUAGAGUUGAUUAUCUAACAUAUCUAAUGGAUAAAAACAACAUUAUAAAUAAUAGCUAGUUAUAAAGAAUGUUACAACUGCAUUAGGCACAUUUUAUUGGUCGUACACCAUGUACAUCACCAAGUUAACAAUAAGCAUAAAUCCUAAAUAUCCCAAAUAGGUUUAAAACCAAUUUAGCAGAACAUUAUAAUUUACAUCUAAUGUUAGGCCUCAUUAUUUAGUAGUUGAUACUUGGACUUUCUUUGGUAAUCUCAUCCGCAACAAACAUAAUUUAACUUUAAGUAACAUAUAAAAUAGGUUUAAUUAGUCUACAAAUAAUAGAAUAUUAGAGAAUUUUGACCUUAGAUUUUGUGGUUCUCCAUCGUAUUGAGUUAGUUUCCAGAGAGAUGUAUAGGCAAAUUUCUCAAACAGAUAUUAUGAGACGCCUUUACUCAAACUUGUAACACUAGAAGGUAAGACUUCCUACAAUUAAAAUCUCGUUUGUUACACAUGUCAGUAUAUGACAAAACAAAUUGUAUUGCAUUUGGUAUGUAUUGGACUGUGACAGUGUGACAAAUUUCAAUAGGGCAAAUAACAUAAAAGCCCUGAAUGUAACGUCCAAAAAUUUCACGCAAAAUUCAAACUUUUUCAACCAUAAAUAAAAGACAAAUAGUAUUGUUUACAAAACGUUUUCAAAUCAAUAUCCAUCAGAGUGUCCCAAAAUCAUAACAUAAGGAUGAGGAGCGGUACGGUUACGCCUUCGCCUUGCCACGAUCUCCUGAAGUACCUGAAACAAUAAACUGAAAACUGUAAGCCCGAGGGUUUAGUGAGCUACCCCCAAAAUACCAAUACCACACUGACAAUACCAUAUCAGUAACAAUCAAUCAAUCAAUCAUGCAUACUGGGCCAUCGGCCUGACAGGACCGCCCUAGUGGGCCUACAGUCUAUCUGAACCUAUUCAUGCAUACUGGGCCAUCCUGACUGGACCGCCCUAAUGGGCCUACAGUCUAUCAGAAUCUAUCCCGAGCCUUCGGCAUGACUGGUCCGCCUCGUGGGCCUGCAGUCUCCCCGGACCGCUCAUAGGGUAUGUUGGCCUUCAGCACAAUGCAGGACCGCCCCAACCCAACCAAUAAGCAAAUAACCAAGUUCGCAUAACUAUCACAUACUGGCAUAUACAACCAUCAAACAUAUAUGUCAUACUGAUCAUUAACCAUAUAAUCCUCUCGUAACGAGAGUACCGACCUAGCAGGUCACUAGCAUACCAAUCCAUACGGACCAUAAAGCAUGCAUACUGUCUACCCUGAUUCUAGCAGACCAAAUCAUAUAUAGCAUACCAUAACAAUAACAACUAAAGGGUCGACCUUGGUGCCGUAGACCCUAUCGAUAUAGUGAGGAUAACUCACCUCGCAGAUGUCGACUCGGAAGAUAAACUCCAACUCUCAAAUCACUUGACACAAGCUCCACCAUUUAUGACUAUAAUACAAUAUACUCAUAAGUCCUUAACCUUAUAAGGUACUCCAUAACCCACCAGUCAACCCCUGGUCAAAUUCAAAGUCCUUAGUCAAGGUCAACAGUCCAUGUUGACCCCAACUCGCCGAGUACCCUCGGCUACUCUCCGAGUGCCUUGAUGCACAUCCCACUCGCCGAGUCAUCGGGGUGACUCGUCGAGUUCCAUCAAUUUUCGUUCAAACUUUCAGGCCAUCUGUCGAGUUCCCUCCUUGCAACUCGACGGAUACAUACGCAUACAUAUCCAAGGGAAAACUGAUAGCUUCAUUUUAUUCACUUCUUUUUCUAGUUUAUUGAGCAUAUUUCAUUCACAUUUUAAUUAAUUUCCAUGCAUAUUUUCCUUUUUGUUAUUUUAUGACCACUUUCGGGUACUUUGUAGUUUCGUGAGUAUAAAUGCAUAUUUUAAGGAGACUAGCAAAGCGUGAUCUUUUGGGAAGCAACUGGGCUUGAAGAGCAAUAGGGAUUUAAUGCUUGAUGACUAUGGAGGAUCGAUGAUCAAGAGUUCAAAGAAGCCAUAAAUGAUUUGGAAGAGUCAAAUUGGGCUCAAAUUGAAGAGAACUUAAAGAAAAAUAGGCUAGAAGCUGAUUAGACUCGAAAUGGACCAAUGGACUAGCUGUGGGAGCCCAAGACACGAGGAAACCCAAAAUACGUACCCAGUUCACGCGGCCCGCGUGGGAAUACCCGCGGCCCGCGUAGAUGAUGCUGAUGAAGAUCCGACUUUUUCACAUGUGGCUCUAUUAUUGGAUGCUUAGUUGGUAUCUUUUGGUGGCUUUUUAAAUCCGGAAAUUGGUCUUUUUGGCUAGAAAAUAUGUGUACUUUUCAUGCCCAUCCCUCAAAUAAUUGCUCCUCUUACUAUAAAAGGGAGGGAGGACAAUGGAAGAAACACACAAUACACUACAAUCAUCAAAGAAGCUAGAGAGAAGUUAAAGGCUUUUGAAAGUCUUGAAGAUUGGUGGAAACUCUUUCCAUUCCAUAUCUAAAGACAAUGUUUGGUAUCACUAAACUCUUUUCUAUGUGUUUUGUUAUGGCCAUGCUUGGCUAAAUUCUUAUUUGGUUGACUUGGAUGUAAUUGCUUUAAUGUUUUGGUUAUUUUGAAGAACUCCAUGAACUUAUGUUGAAUAUCUAUGAUUAUAUUUUCUAUAAAAACUUCCUUUAUGUUUAUAUUUCUCUAGUCAUGAAUAUUAAUUUAUGAAUAUUGUUUUGUUGGUUAAAUCUUGACUAAGUAAUGGGUCUUCAAUUUAACAAGCAACAAUUAGUUUAAAUGUUUGUUUUCAUUUCAUUUAAACUAAGAAAACAUUUUCUCCAUAAUGGUAAUGAAAGCAAUAGAUUACUCUUUGGAUUUGGUGACUCUUAAAUCCUAAUGUUAAUUGAUUUUCACAAGAUUACAUGCUUCAUUAGUUUUGUGACUUUGAUUAAAGAAAUGUGCUAUGAGCUUCUCUAGUCAUUUUAAUACAAAAGAAGAGUUGAGGCAAGUUAUGCUUAUAAAUUGCUAUAGCCAAGUUAGAUCAUAAACACAAGUAUUGCACCUUGGUAUUCUCAUGAUUAUUUAACCAAAUGUUAAAGUAAUGAAAUUCCAAUGCCAACCAUCUUUCUCUCAUUGAUUUUAUAUCAAAUUCUUAUUUUUGUUGAAUUGUCCAAUUAAUUAUAAUUUUAGUUCAAGUAAUCCCAAAAUAUCAAAAUCCCCAUCUUUUAUUCUUAUUGUUAUUUUACAAGUAUUUGUACAACAAAGAUUAUCAUAGAGUUAUACAAUUGAACCAUUCCCCGUGGAUUCGAUCCCUUUACCACUAUACACUAUUUUAGUGUGUAACAUUUAGGGUAUUUAUUUUGUUGGCCUCGACACCCAUCAAAUUUUGGCGCCGUUGCUGGGGACUGGUUUAUUUUUAAUCAAUUUAUUUCUCUAUGACCAGAUCUCAACGUACAGGUAACAUGAUUUAUAAUCCAGAAAUUGAAAAAGAAGCAAGGCGUGUGGCAAAGGAAAAGCGAAUAGAACGUCGUCAAACUUCCAACCCUCUCGUGGAUCCGGAAAAAUUAACCACUUCCUCAAGUGAUCCGGAACCCGAUUAUAGUCCCGAUCCUCGCCAAGAAAUUCCCGAAACACCACCUCUACAACAAGAUCCAUCCAUAUUUGAACCAAUCGCAAUGGCGGACGGAGGAGAAGUUCCCGAAAGAACUUUGAGGCAAAUGAUGGAGACCGAUGUUACACAAACUCCAACCGGUAUCAACUACCCAGUAUUGGAAGGAGGAUCAGAAUUAAAGUCAAGUUUGGUCCACCAUCUUCCGACUUUCCGUGGGUUGGAAAACGAAGACCCACAUAAGCAUUUGAAGAUGUUCCACAUUAUUUGCACCAGCAUGAAGCCACAAGGGUCAACCGAUGACCAAAUCAAGCUAAGGGCAUUCCCCUUUUCAUUGGCCGAUAGAGCAAAAGAUUGGUUAUUCUAUCUUCCACCGGGUUCAAUAAACUCAUGGACCGAUAUGGCAAGAACUUUUCUUGACAAAUUCUACCCUGCCUCAAGAGUCUCAAGUCUUAGAAAUGAGAUUUGCAGAAUGAUUAUUUGGAGAGAUUUAACAACUUGUGCUAUAGUUGUCCACAACAUCAAAUCCCGGAACAACUCCUCAUUCAACACUUUUAUGAGGGAUUGUUACCAAUGGAGAGAAGACUAGUUGAUGCCUCAAGUGGUGGAGAUGUCUUUAGCAAAACUCCACAACAAACAAGACAACUCUUCAACACCAUAGCCGCAAAUUCCCAACAUUUUGGCCCGCGCCAAGAUAUGAAGAGAGAGACUCAACAUAAAGUCAAUGAAGUGGGGUCAUCAAGCCUCGAGUCCCAAAUCAAAGAUUUAACCUCUAUUGUUCAAAAGCUCACCAUGGGAAAAACUCCACAAGUUAUGGUUUGUGGAAUAUGUGCAACAAUGGGACAUCCUACGGACAUGUGCCCCGUUCUUCAAGAAGAUGCGGAACACGUAAAUGCAACGGGUGAGUUUCAAAAUUACCACAAUAAACCAUCCGGUUACCAAAACACAUAUAAUUCUAGUUGGAAACCAAAUCCCAACAUGAGCUACAAACCAAGACCAUUGCCCCAAAAUGCAUUAGUUAGACCUUCCUACCCACCACAACAACCUCAUUACCAACACCCACAACCACACUAUCAAUCAAAACCAUACCCUCCACCUCAUCAUCAACCACCUCCUCAAUCUCAACCAAGUAACUCCAGAAUGUCUCUUGAAGACAUUAUCAAAUCACUAGCCACUAGUACCCAACAAUUCCAAAAAGAGACAAGAACUAGUAUCUCCAACCUUGAAACACAAAUGGGAGAUAUAGUUACAGCCAUAAGCAAGUUGGAGUCCCGUGGAAAACUGCUUUCUCAAACUGAAAGAAACCCAAAUGUCAAUGCAGUGACCUUGAGAAGUGGCAAACAAGCCGGAGAAAGUACAUCAAACAAGAAACCAAGGGAUGAAGAGGAAGAAAUAGAAGUCAUUCCCAUUGAAGAACCUACAACAAAGAAUGCCACCCAAACUGAAAUUCCAAAGAAGAUUACCCCUCUAGUGACCCCAAUAGCCACUCAACCGCCAUUUCCCUCCCGACUUGCAACCUCAAAGAAGAAAAUGGAGGAAAAAGAGAUUUUGGACACCUUUCGAAAGGUGGAAGUAAACAUCCCUUUACUUGAUGCAAUCAAGCAAAUUCCAAGGUAUGCAAAAUUUUUGAAGGAACUUUGCACCAACAAGAGGAAGUUGAAAGGAAAUGAGAAAAUCUCAAUGAAUGAAAACGCAUCCGCGGUUUUACAAAGAAAACUUCCACCCAAGUGCAAAGAUCCGAGAAUGUUUACGGUUCCUUGCAAGAUUGGAGAUACUACUUUUAGUAGUGCCAUGCUUGAUCUUAGUGCAUCCAUCAAUGUCAUGCCAUAUUCAGUGUAUAAGUUAUUGAAUGUCGGACCUCUAAGCGAAACCGGUGUCAUAAUCUCUCUCGCGGAUAAAUCAAGUGUCUUCCCUAGAGGUGUUUUGGAAGAUGUCCUAGUGCAAGUAAACCAAUUGGUUUUCCCAGCAGAUUUCUAUGUGAUUGAUCUAGAUGAACAAGUGUCCUCAAAAUCAGGUAUAAUCUUACUUGGGAGACCAUUCUUAAAGACAGCUAGAACAAAGAUUGAUGUGUUUGCAGGAAGUUUAACAAUGGAGUUUGAUGGUGAAACAAUAAGUUUCAAAAUUUAUGAUGCCAUGAGAUAUCCAAGUGAUGUUUCAUCUUUGUGCUAUGUCGAUGUUAUUGAACCAUUAACCCAACAGUUGUUCGAAUUGUCUAAUGGCAACAUUUUGGAAAUGGUUUUAAGCAAAGGAUUUGAUUGUGGUAAAUUGACCAAGAAGUUAAAGCUCUACUCAUUAGAUCCAGAAAUUGAAAGACUGGUCAACCACUUAGAAAUCAAGAAAACUACUCAAUUGAGUGUGAAGCAAAUUGAACUCCCUCAAACUCACACAAGAUUACCACCUUCCCUUGUUCAACCCCCGGAUUUGGAGUUAAAAGUCCUUCCUCAACAUUUGAAGUAUGCGUACUUAGGCAACAACGAGACUCUUCCAGUCAUCAUUUCAACUCACUUAACCGAAAAUGAAGAAGAGCAACUCCUAGAAGUGUUGAAGGAGCAUAAAGAAGCAAUGGUUUGGACGAUUGCAGAUAUCAAAGGGUUGAGCCCCUCCACUUGCAUGCACAAGAUUUUGAUGGAGGAGGAUUGCAAACCAAGCCGGGACGCACAAAGAAGAUUGAACCCACCAAUAAUGGAAGUGGUAAAGAAAGAAAUUUUGAAACUCCUUGAUGCAGGUAUGAUCUAUCCAAUCUCGGAUAGCAAGUGGGUGAGCCCGGUGCAAGUGGUGCCGAAAAAGACGGGAAUCACAGUGGUCGAAAACAACAAAGGUAUGAUGGUCCCCACCCGCGUACAAAACGGGUGGAGAGUGUGUAUUGACUACCGUAAACUCAAUACAAGUACAAGAAAAGAUCAGUUCCCAUUGCCUUUCAUUGAUCAAAUGUUAGAAAGGUUGGCCAGGAAAUCCCAUUAUUGUUGUCUAGACGGGUAUUCUGGUUUUCACCAAAUCCCGGUGACACCGGAAGACCAAGAAAAGACAACAUUUACAUGUCCAUUUGGCACUUUUGCAUACCGGAGAAUGCCAUUUGGAUUGUGUAACGCCCCGGCCACUUCCCAACGUUGUAUAGUUAGUAUUUUCUCAGAAUAUGUCGAAAAUAUAAUUGAGGUUUUUAUGGAUGAUUUCACGGUAUAUGGCAACUCCUUUCAAGAGUGUUUGACCAAUCUCACAAAAAUUUUGAAAAGAUGCAUUGAAAAGAAUUUGGUUUUAAAUUUUGAGAAAUGUCAUUUUAUGGUGAGCCAAGGUCUUAUUUUGGGUCACAUUGUGUCAAAGAAAGGAAUUGAGGUGGAUAAGGCCAAAAUAGACAUUAUUAAAAGCUUACCUUACCCGACUUGUGUUCGGGAAGUUCGAUCUUUUUUGGGCCAUGCAGGUUUCUACCGGAGAUUUAUCAAGGACUUUUCAAAGAUAACAAGACCAAUGUGCCAACUCUUGCAAAAAGAAGUUGAUUUCGACUUUAAUGAAGCAUGCAAAGAAGCUUUCAACAAGCUCAAGGAAUUGCUUACGUCCGCUCCUAUCAUGCAAGCACCAAAUUGGGAUCUCCCUUUUGAGAUCAUGUGUGAUGCAAGCAAUUAUGCUGUUGGCGCCGUUUUGGGUCAAAAGGAUGGAAGAGCACCCCAUGUGAUCCAUUAUGCAUCAAGGACACUAGACAAUGCUCAAAGCAAUUACUCCACCAUGGAGAAGGAGUUAUUGGCCAUAAUGUUCGCCUUGGAGAAAUUCAGACAAUACCUUCUCGGUACAAAGAUCAUUGUGUAUUCGGAUCACGUGGCACUCAAAUACUUGAUGAAAAAGAAAGAUGCAAAGCCGAGACUCAUCCGGUGGAUUUUAUUGUUACAAGAGUUCGAUUUGGAAAUCCGAGACAAGAAAGGAUGUGAAAAUCUUGUUGCCGACCAUCUAAGCUGAAUCGCUUCAAAUGAAACUCUCCUCCCGUUGAGGGACGAGUUUCCAGAUGAGCAUCUUUUUUCCCUUACUCAAUCCAUUCCAUGGUAUGCUGAUAUCGUUAACUUUUUGGUCACAAAAAGGCAUCCCGACACAUUCACACGUGCUCACAAAGACAAGUUGAAAAGUGAUGCAAAACAUUAUGUGUGGGAUGAACCUUACUUGUGGAAACAUUGUCCCGAUCAAAUCAUUAGACGAUGUGUACCCCAACAAGAGCAUAAAUCAAUUUUACAAUUUUGCUAUGAAUUUGCUUGUGGGGGACACUUCGGACCUAACAGGAUCUUGAGAAAGGUCCUUGAAUGUGGACUAUUUUGGCCAACCAUGUCACGCGAUUGUUACUUGUUUUGCAAAAGCUGUGAACGGUGCCAAAAGACGGGGAAUAUUUCACAAAAGAACCAAAUGCCACAAAAUCCAAUCCUUAUUUGUGAAAUUUUUGACGUAUGGGGGAUUGGUUUUAUGGGCCCAUUCCCUGUCUCGUUUGGCAAUGUUUACAUCUUGCUCGCAGUUGACUAUGUUUCAAAGUGGGUUGAAGCCAAAGCCACAAGAUCGGAUGAUGCCAAAACAGUUAUCGAAUUUUUAAAAUCUAAUAUCUUUUUUAGGUUUGGUGUACCUAGGGCUUUGAUCAGUGGUCGAGGGACGCACUUUUGUAACAAAAUGAUGGAGGCUUUACUGAAGAAAUACAACGUGACUCACCGUGUUUCAACCGCCUACCACCCUCAAACGAAUGGUCAAGAUGAAGUUUCAAACCGUGAGGUGAAGAGCAUACUUGAGAAAACAGUAAAUCCCUCAAGAAAAGAUUGGAGUUCAAGGCUUGACGAUGCCUUGUGGGCCUAUCGGACCGCGUACAAAACUCCGAUAGGAAUUUCUCCGUUUAGGUUGGUCUUUGGGAAACCUUGUCAUCUUCCCAUGGAAUUGGAACACCGCGCAUUCUGGGCGGUCAAGCGAUGCAAUUUAAAUAUCGAUGAUGCGGGAAUAAAUAGGAAGCUUCAACUUCAGGAGUUGGAGGAGUUGAGAAAUGACUCCUAUGAAAACUCAAGAAUCUACAAGGAAAAGACAAAGCUUUUUCAUGACAAGUCCAUUACCCGCAAGCACUUCGAACCGGGAAAUAGGGUUUUGCUUUACCAUUCGCGAAUGAAAUUAUUUCCUGGGAAGUUGAGAUCAAGAUGGAUAGGUCCAUUUAUCGUGCUAAAAGUCUUUGAGCACGGAGCAGUCGAAAUCCAAAGUGAAGAAACGAGGCAAGUCUUUAAAGUCAAUGGGCAUCGUUUGAAACCUUUCUAUGAAGGUUUUAACGCGAAUGUCCUAGAUAUCAUCCAAUUGGAUGCCCCGGUUUAUUGAAGUCAAAAGUGAAGCACGUCUCGCCAAAGAUGUUAAAGAGGGGCAUUUUUGGAAAGCUAUGCUUUCAAAUAAACGUGUGUUUAAAAAAAUGGUCGAUAAAACCAGCGGCCCGCGUGAAGAUUGUGAAGAAAUGACAUGCGACCCGCGUAGAGAAAACUCCACCCAGCCCGUUCAGCAACCGCGGCUGACCCGCGACCCGAGCUAUACCCGCGCUUGAAACAGAAUGGUUAGAUCGAUUUUGAGCUGCUAGACGCGGCCUGCACGCGGCCCGCGCCUAGCUCGCGUGUAGGUCGUUUGACUGAUUUCUUGAGCUGUAGACUUAUGUUGACCACGGGUUAAAUUGUUUGACCAACUAAAAACCAGGUUUGACCUCCAUUGACCAAGGAUUAAACACACCCCAACACCUUUCUUAUUCUCUAAACCCCAAGAACUUCAACAUUUUCUCUCAAGAAACUCAAGAACACCAUAACCCACUCCUCACAAAAAUCAAUUUUCCCGGAGUUCUACCGGUCGGAAUCUCGUGAAACCACCGCCAUUCUUCACCAUUUUUCAUCCUCUACAAACCCCAUCCAAAAUCCGGUCCGAUCUGUGGCCGGAAUUCCGGGUGACACCACCACCCACCACCACCUUCUUUCGCGUUUUCCGGCAAACUCCGGCCACCAUUGAAGAAUCCGAGCACGGGGUUUUGUUUCUCUCCUCAAGGGAUUUCUAAUCAUAACAAUCUUUAAGGAAAAGCUCACGAAAAAUUUCCAUCAAAUUCCGGGUACCGCCAUUCUAAUCAACGGAAAUUCAUCUUCAAGCUCGUUUGAGGGGUUGUUUAAGAGUUUAAAUCAUCAAAUACGGAGCAAAAUUGCAAAAUUGUAAGCUUGGGGUGUGUCUUGACGACAUCCUUUGGGUGGCACUAAUCGUCUAAGCAAUUUGGUACUUUCACUCCUUAAUCUUGAUUAUUUGCAUUAGUGGUAUUGUUGAUAAAAUUUGUCCAAAGAAAAUGUCAAAAGGUACCAAAACGGGGACAGGAGCUACUUCCUCCAAAAGAGGAUCAAAAGGAAAAUCAAAUAAUCCCCCGUUUCGUUUGACAAAUCGUGAGAUCGAAAGACAUAUGACUUUCUCGUUUCCAAUAAACGACAAGUCAAGUCGACAAAAUUCCUCCAUAGGGAAACUUUUGACAGUCUUGGAGUACUAGAGGGAGUCCAAGCUUUGUUCAACAACAUCGGAUGGGGACAAUUCCUCUAUAACCGAGCAACAACUUAUGUUGAACCUACCUUGGAAUUUCUUGCCACAUUCAACCCCGGUGACGAUACUGAAACCGUCACUUUCCAAAUGCUCGGCGAGAGAUGAUCACUACCACAUCGGGUCGUGAACGCCUUGUUGGGCACUCCCGUGGAAAACCUUUAUUAUCAACAAAAACCAUGGCCCGAGGAAUUCAAUGAACAUUACUUUUGGCAACAAAUUACAAAUGAGCAGCAAUAUUCAUCGUCUUCCUUGAAGGCCUCAUCCAUAAUCCAUCCAUGUUUGUGCCUAGCGCAUCGAGUGCUCACAUGCACCAUUUUUGCCCGAGCCGAAGUGGGACAAAUCUCAAAGGCAAAAUUAUUCUUCCUUUGGUGCAUGACUCGUGAGAAUGGCCCAAGGCCGGAUUUUGCCUCCUUUUUCUUUACCAAAUGUUACAACCUAACGACUAUGGAUAAAGGAGACAUCUUCAUUGGGGGAUUGAUCACUCUUCUUGCUUCAUGGCCCCCGCUUCAACUUCAUCUUUCUACUCUACCAUUUGAGAGGGCUGUCGGACCAUCUAGCCUUGAUGGCAACGCACUAAGGCGGAUGCAACUCAUCCGGGAUUCGGUGGUUGGUACCAUGUGGAUCCUCGACAACCAACCAUACAUCCUUCUUCCACACGAAUAUAGGGUGUUUUGAUCCAACCGAUCCCGAUCAAUGGAUCAUUCCUUCCAAUUACCCUCCUCCUGUGGAUAAUGAAGAUGAUCAAUUCCAACACCCACAACAUCAAGCCGAGCCCCAAUUCCAGCCACAGCAGCAGGGAGGACAAGAAAUACCACAAUAUUUCCCCCCUAUGUUCUUUGAACAAUUCAACACAAUGUUCUCCACGGUACAACGCAUCGAUACCCAAACGCAGGAGAACACCAGAGCCAUCCAAGAUGUGGCUACACGUGUCGAAUGGCUGGAGCAAUCAUUCCCACCCACUUCCCACCAGGUCCAAGAUAUGUGGGACUACCACUAUCGCCAUGGGCAUUUCCCGCCGCCCGACCCCCCGAUUUAGGUCAUUUUCGCCCUUUCCUUAAGCAUUGAGGACAAUGCUUGUUCUUAAGCUUGGGGUGCGGCACUUAUCUUUUCUUUUUAAUUUUUCAUGCAUUGUUUUUAACUAGGUUGCAUAACAUUUUAGUUUUAAGCUAAUUUUCAUUAAAUUUUUAAUUAUAAAAUUCCAAUAAGAUUUUAUUUUCUUCUUUUCCACUUUUUAUUUUUUUAGCCUUGGGAAUUAGCAUUCAUGCAUUUUUGUUAUCUGUUUAUUCUCACCUCCUUGGAUGCCAUGGAACAAGUUCAAAGUUAUUAUAUCAUUAUUGGUCCAGGAUCUUGUUGCUAUCUCACCCAUCGAACCGGGACCACUAGCUGCAGUUUGGGAUUUCAUACUUGGGAUCAGAUGCUGGUAGCUUAACGGGGUAAGUGAUCAUGUCCAGGUAGUUUUAUGAAGAAUUAUGCAUACAAUACUAUCAAUUGUAGGAUAUAUUAUAGCAAUGGAUGUUCUUAGCCUUGCGGUCACUACCGCUGAGAGGAUCACACUUGAUCAUGUUUGAACUGUUAGGAUGAAGCACUGGUGCUUGUCCCCGAGUAGAAUCCAUAUCCGGUCUCUUUACAUCACCAUAUCUUUUUGCGAUUUUCUUAGGAUUUUAGAGACUCAUUUAGUCCACAUUUGGACAAUUUUUGUUAUAGUUGAAAAAAAAUCACAAGUUUGAAAAGGAGCUUACAUCCCUAUGCUCCACACAUGGUCGUUUUCACACUUAGACCAUUCGGAUUAUUAUUAACCUUUCGGUUCCACAUACAUACCUUUGGGAACCAAAUAUGUUAAAAAAAAUCAAGAAAAAUUCCAAUCAACAAUUAUCCUAGAUGGGUGACCAGUUCAAUCAUUGAACAAAUUUUCCUAGAUUGUGGUCACCCGGUGUUUGAUGUUCAAUUAUUUAGGCAUGUUUUAUUGUAUAUAGAUUGAGUUAUUUUUCGCAAAUUGGUGAUGUUUUGGAGACUGUCGAGUCGGAUACUACGGGAGUUUUGGGCCAACACUAAGUGAACUGAUUCCUACAACGGUGCCCGAGCGAUUAAACCCAAAUUACACAUGAGAGUGGCCGAAAGACGUGAGAUCAGAGUGUACACUGAAAAGAAGAGCUCCACACGAGCCCAUCCAGUUGCUUUCUCCCCACCACAGAUGUUAUUCAUUAUAUGCAUGUUCCAUUGAGGCUGCAACCGACCAUCCCUCCUUACUCACCUAGAGGAGUUGUCCUAGCUGCGGUUUAUGGUCCCAUUGUCAUCGGAUGAAAAAUUUGUGAGAUAGCAGCAAAAUCAAUUCUAAUCAUGUUGACUAACGAUGAACAGGUUCCAUGGUUCUAUCCAUUCUUUUUAUUUUUAGGGUAGUUCAUCCCGAGUUCAUUUUAGUCUUAUCUUACUUGAGGACAAGUAAGGUUUAAGCUUGGGGUGAUUUGAUAGCUUCAUUUUAUUCACUUCUUUUUCUAGUUUAUUGAGCAUAUUUCAUUCACAUUUUAAUUAAUUUCCAUGCAUAUUUUCCUUUUUGUUAUUUUAUGACCACUUUCGGGUACUUUGUAGUUUCGUGAGUAUAAAUGCAGAUUUUAAGGAGACUAGCAAAGCUGGAUCUUUUGGGAAGCAACUGGGCUUGAAGAGCAAUAGGGAUUUAAUGCUUGAUGACUAUGGAGGAUCGAUGAUCAAGAGUUCAAAGAAGCCAUAAAUGAUUUGGAAGAGUCAAAUUGGGCUCAAAUUGAAGAGAACUUAAAGAAAGAUGGGCUAGAAGCUGAUUAGACUCGAAAUGGACCAAUGAACUAGCUGUGGGAGCCCAAGACAUGAGGAAACCCAAAAUACGUACCUAGUUCACGCGGCCCGCGUGGGAAUACCCGCGACCCGCGUAGAUGAUGCUGAUGAAGAUCUGACUUUUUCACAUGUGGCUCUAUUAUUGGAUGCUUAGUUGGUAUCUUUUGGUGGCUUUUUAAAUCCGAAAAUUGGUCUUUUUGGCUAGAAAAUAUAUGUACUUUUCAUGCCCAUCCCUCAAAUAAUUGCUCCUCUUACUAUAAAAGGGAGGGAGGACAAUGGAAGAAACACACAAUACACUACAAUCAUCAAAGAAGCUAGAGAGAAGUUAAAGGCUUUUGAAAGUCUUGAAGAUUGGUGGAAACUCUUUCCAUUCCAUAUCUAAAGACAAUUUUUGGUAUCACUAAAUUCUUUUCUAUGUGUUUUGUUAUGGCCAUGCUUGGCUAAAUUCUUAUUUGGUUGACUUGGAUGUAAUUGCUUUAAUGUUUUGGUUAUUUUGAAGAACUCCAUGAACUUAUGUUGAAUAUCUAUGAUUAUAUUUUCUAUAAAAACUUCCUUUAUGUUUAUAUUUCUCUAGUCAUGAAUAUUGAUUUAUGAAUAUUGUUUUGUUGGUUAAAUUCUUGACUAAGUAAUGGGUCUUCAAUUUAACAAGCAACAAUUAGUUUAAAUGUUUGUUUUCAUUUCAUUUAAACUAAGAAAACAUUUUCUCCAUAGUGGUAAUGAAAGAAAUAGAUUACUCUUUGGAUUUGGUGACUCUUAAAUCCUAAUGUUAAUUGAUUUUCACAAGAUUACAUGCUUCAUUAGUUUUGUGACUUUGAUUAAAGAAAUGUGCUAUGAGCUUCUCUAGUCAUUUUAAUACAAAAGAAGAGUUGAGGCAAGUUAUGCUUAUAAAUUGCUAUAGCCAAGUUAGAUCAUAAACACAAGUAUUGCACCUUGGCAUUCUCAUGAUUAUUUAACCAAAUGUUAAAGUAAUGAAAUUCCAAUGUCAACCAUCUUUCUCUCAUUGAUUUUAUAUCAAAUUCUUAAUUUUGUUGAAUUGUCCAAUUAAUUAUAAUUUUAUUUCAAGUACUUCCAAAAUAUCAAAAUCCCCAUCUUUUAUUCUUAUUGUUAUUUUACAAGUAUUUGUACAAAAAAGAUUAUCAUAGAUGUUGGAUUAAUGUCUAAGUCCAUAACUAUAAUUGGUAAGACUUGACCCGACCCGGCAUGGUCCAUUUGGGUUGCAUACCAUCAUGCACUUGGAUAGACUAUAAUGAGAGAAAUAAGACACUUAUGGUUAUUAAUAUAUUAUAAGUUCUAGUAUAUUAAUAAUAAGAAUAAUAAGAUUAUUUAAUUAGUAUUGAUCAAGAAUUAAUCUAGGAUUAAUUAAGUGAUCAAAAGAAGACUAAUUAAAUAUAUGGGUUGAUUGUGUAAAUCAUCCAUACUUGUAUAGUGGGCUAAUGUUCCAUGGAUAAUCAAGUUGGGCUAAAACCCAUAGGAUGGUCCAUGGAUGCUCCAUGGUGUAUUUGUACCCAUGGAUCAUGGAAAUGAAAGGCCAUGUCAAUUAGGGUUUACAUGGUGUAACCCUAACUAUAUAAGCAUCUUAUUCUUGACCAAAAUCGGCCACUAGUGUGUGAAGUAAAAGGGCUAGCCGAUUUCAUGAGUUGUAGAAUUCUCUCAAGUUAUUCUAAGUGUUUUGGUGAUUGUGAUUCCAUUUGAGGCUUCCACACUAUUGGGGCUAGGCACUCAAGCUUCAUGAAGACUUUCUACAUCAAAGAGGUAUGUAUUCUAUCUUGUUACACUCAUUGUUUUGUAUGCUAGAUUAGGAUAAUACCUUGGAAGUUCUUAUUUGCAUGUAUAAUAGAGAAAACAUAGAUCCAAGGUAUUUAGGGUUGCAUGUACACUUAGGAGUGUUAGAAUGCUCAAAACCCAACAGUGGUAUCAGAGCCUAGGCUUGUUUUCUUGUUAUACCUGCAAUAGAAGCUGAAAAAACGAAUUUGGUGCUGUCUGAUCAUCAGACUCGGCGAGUCCAUCAGAGGACUCGGCGAGUCCAUGCCUAAAAUGUGAUCAAUUCGAUCCAACUCGCCGAGUUGGUUCAUGCACUCGACGAGUUGGACCCCCAGACAGCAUAUUUUCGAGUUUUUUGGCUAGAAAUGGACUAGGAACAUUACCCUAAGUUGUUUUUGAACUUAUAAACUUGUUUUUGAUGUGGUAAUGUUCAUGCUAAUCCAUUUUCAAAGAUAAUUGUCAAUAGAUUCAUGUUUUGUAUUAGUUUAAGGUUUAGACUAAUUACAUGAAAAAGUUUGAUUUGAAUUAUCUUGUUCUUAUGAGUUGCUUAGAUUAAUAGAAAAGUUGAGUGAAAUAGUUGUUUUCAAUCCAUUUUAAUCUAAGAGUUGAGUAUAAAAUGUGUUUGUGUAACUUGUCCUCAAGUUACAUGAAGAGUCACAUUAAAGACUCAUAAAACUCAUAAAAGUUGGCAAUGGUUACAAAAUGAAGAGUCUUGUGUCAUUGAAUAAUUUUUUUUGACUCCAUAACUUGUCCUCAAGUUAUGGAAGUUCAAGAGUCACUUCAUUAAAGAAAAAUAUGUAACCAUAAUUAAAUCCAUAAGUUAUAAAAUAAAGAAAAAGUUAGUUCUUUUAUUAGUUUAAAGUCUUCCAUAACUUGUCCUCAAGUUAUGGAACUUGAAGAGUUUUUGGAUUAAAACUACUUUAAACACAUAAGUUAUGGAAUUAAUUAGUUUUGAAUAGUUUCAAAACUUGCCCUCAAGUUUUGGAAUUUGAAAAGUUUUCAAGUAUGAAUACUUUAAUUCCAAGUUAGCCCUUAGAAUUUUAAAAGUUAAAAUUCAACCCUUAUACUUUAUAAUAUUAUAAGUUAAUAAUAUAUAUAUGUAUAAGAGUAAAGUCAGUCUUACCGCUAGUACGCCUCAUUCACGAAGCCGGUCUAUAAGGUGGGUAUAAGGUUGUUGCCUAUAAAAUGGCAACUUAAUGGGUGUCCACUCUCACCCACCGCUUGCUUGACUGGUGGAGGGUCGUUAGCCGAACGGGUUUGACAGGACUAGAAUUCUCCCUUCAUUAAAAGUAUUAAUGAUAAUACUAAGUAACUAAACUCUUAAUAAUACCCAAUCUUAGUUACUUAGGAAAAAUGUGAAUAAGGUGCUAAUCCAUGAAAUUACACUUUACACUUUGUCUAAGUCGUUAGUGGAGCGUGUGUGGUUAACCGGCACACUAACUUGGACUUAACAAGGUAGGUAAAGGGUGACUUAAUAUUUAUCAUAGUAUCGAUGGAGCGUGUGUGGUUAACCGGCACAUCGAUUGAGGGGUAAUUUAUUAAGGGUACCAAGUGAUUUGCAUGGUUACUUCACACCUUGUUUUGUGAUCCUCGGCAUCCCAGUCACAAAACCUGAAGGGCACACUCGAGAUUGAAACAUGCCUUUGAAAAGUUCAAUGAAUCUCAAAGAUCUAGGAGUUUCAAAACCAAUUAAAACCUAAUAAUACAUUUCGUUUAUCUUGGUGGAAAUUGGUGAAUCGUCAUUCACCUACCUUCAAAUAUUUUAUAGCUUGGAUUACGGCAUACCUCUUCUAAGUUAUAAAAUAGUUUGUUGGGUCCUAGCCUUAAUAUUUCAUAUUGGGUGUCAUAUUAAGGACUUUAAAUCAACUAUCUUGAAUAUCUCCCAAAAGAUGUCUGGUUUAGACACCUAUGAUCUUCCCAAAUCUCUUGAAACAAGGUUUCCUAAUGAAGAUGAUGUCCCAUGGAUAUCAUACUUCUUCACCUCUUCAAAUUAUUCUCCCUAACCCACAAGUUCUUGAAAAGUUUAAGGUCACUCAGGCCCUAUUGGCAAGGCAAGGUCUAGGUGUGGUCACAUCUUGGAGAUGUAGUCACAUAUUGACAAGCCGGGAGAGUUGGGUGUCAAAGUCUUGAGAAAGUUGGUGGUUCAACCACUUUCUAAGUCACAUAGUGAGUUCCUUUGGGACACCUAUGAAACAGACUAUGACAAGACCCUUAAUGAUCUUAUCUAUUUGCUAAGAUCAACUUCCUAAAACUUUAUGGACAUUGACAAUGAUGACAUUGGAUAUCCAGUAAAGCAUUCUCUUCCCAAUGGAAAGGGAUCGGCCAUAGUCAACUCGGUUGACCAAAUGGUAAAGAGAAAAGCUAAGUCUGUGAUAGUCCCGUGUACCAUUAUCAAAGGGUCCAUAUGUUUAUAUUGCCAAAGGAAGGGGCAUUGGUUGCGAAGCUGCCAAAUUUACCUAAGGAUGUUAAAGUCAAUAAGUUUGACUCUACUUCAGGUAAAGUCCACUAUCUAACUCUGUUAAGUUUCUAUUCUGAGAUUCUUGAUACAUGAUGUGACUGGGUCACAUGGUGAUGUUUUAAGAAUCAAAGAAAAGUGAAGAAACUUAAAGAAAGAAUAUGCUGAAUCUGAUGGCGUAGAUGGAUUUCUAUCGCAUAGUUUGAAGAUCGGAUUCUUGAGCUACUUCUUAGGAGUUAUGAGAUAUUGCUUAGGAAUAGAUAACAACAAGUUUUCAUAUGGAUUGUAAGGAUAAGUUUUUCCGCAAAGUUUUAAAAUAAAAGAAAAUUUUUUAUUUUAUUUAUUUUAAAAUAUCCUUACAAUGGCAUUUGAGGAAAAAUUGUUGCUUAUAUGAUUCCAUUAAGAGCAAGAGUGGAAAUAUGAAAUUGAUUCUUUCAUUUGUGGUAAUGUCUAAAUUUACCAAAUAAGGAAAGAUUCUCAUCACCCAAGUUUCAAUUGGACCGGAACUUGGAAUCAUGCAAGUUGUAUAGCAUGAUGAAUGAGAACUUUCAAGUUUUGGAAAAUUAAGACUAAUUACUUGUUCACAUGGAUGUGUGAGUCAAGUAAAGGACUUAGGGAUCGAGUACACAUUCUUGUGCACUGAUUAAGUCCACCACUAAAGAUCGAUAAGAAGAAUCAAAUAAGGCAGAAGGAUAAAAGUUUCUCAAAUCUGAAAAGAUGGGAGAGUACUUUAGUAUCAGUUUUGUGAUCAUCUUAAUGAUUAAGAAACCAUAUCAAAAUUAGUUCUCUAAGGAAAUCUUAGUGCAUUCUUAUGACUAAGAAGAGGAACUUGAAUUGUUGAAAUGGUUAAAUCAAGAAGAUGAGUCAUACUUCGUUCCAAUACAAGUCUUAGAGUCAUACUCCAAGAUUGUCAUUUGAGUGACAUGUCUUAAAGAAGGUUUAAAACACUUGUCAAAUGUAAGAGUAAAAGUUUUCUACUCUUGUACAUUUGAAAUUGGUAAGUUGUGAUGUUUUGGAUAAAACAAAGACCAACUUAGGCCAAUUGGGUAAAGUGUUUUUCUUGAUUAGAAUCCGCACUAUCUCUUGGAUGUUUGACAAGGGAGUCUUAUAUGUCAAGAGGACAGUGGGAGUCUUAAAGGUCUUGAAAGUCUCAAGAAAUAAUCAAGAAUAAAACCUAAAGUUCUUCACUAGCACACGACUUGAGGUUUAUAACCUAUCGUGUUGACAUAUCUGUGCCCAUUCCAGUUAAAGUUGGCUUUGCAUAUGAGUUCUUAGAGUUCUCAGUUUGUUGCAUAACAACUUGGAAGCAAUGGCAGGCCCUUGAGCUGCCAGGUGGCAAGAAGUUAAGAUUGAGUUCAAUCCAUAUGGUUUUGGAUUUGUCAUUAUCUUUGUCUUGUGAUUAUGGUUUGACAAAUUCAUAUGGGUAGGAACUCAUACACCAUAUAAAUCUAAGUGUCAUAAGGUUUCUCUCCGAUUCAUGAAAAUGAUGGUGAGGAAACGCUUUCACUAAGUAGAUUUUACGAAGAUAUCAAUUGUGUUAUUUGCAUUUUCAAAAGUCGUUAGUGGAGCGCGUGUGGUUAACCGGCACACUAACAUGGACUUGUGAGAAAUGGCAAAUGCCUAAGCAAUUGAGACCAUGAUUACGGUAUCCCUUUUCAUGGUUCUUGAAAUUGCUUAGACACACAGGUGAGCUAUCUACGGAAAGGGUGUAUGAAUCUAAAUUUCAGACUGUCCAGCUGAUUUCUGAGUACAUGUCAAAGCUAGUGGGAGCAUAAGUGUUAUGCUAAUAAUCAUCAUGUUAGUGGGAGCAUGAUAAUUAUGAUAAGUAUUGCAAGUUAGCAAUGUUAAUUAUAGAAAACAAAAGUUUCAAUUGGGAAAAAGUUGUUUUGCUAUAAUUAAGGGAGAGGAAAUUAUGCUUCAUCUCAAAUCUAUAAGCUUAGAUCGUGAGGUUUUAAUCAUUUAGUCAAGGAUAUAUAUGAAUUUCAUGUUGGAAUGGCUCAACAUAAGGAAAUUCUGUAUAUGGGUCCAUUAUUUGCGUUCUAAAAUUCGAUUAUGAUUACGGCAUCCCUUUUCAUAAUCUGAAUUAUGAGAACUUGGCAAAUAGAAAUGGAAAUGUUAUAGCAAAAGACUGGUUUAGUCUUUAUGUGAGACAUCAUGAAUCGUGUCCCAUAUGCUUCGGAUAUAGGAUCGAUUACAUGUGCUAUAUUCAUCCGUUCUAAAAUUUUCCAAAUGCCUGGGGCAUUAAGAAGGGAAAAGGUUUAGAACUGGAUAUGACUAAAAGGAUUAAACAAUUGUCGAGGACAGUCUAAGGUUUACCAAAGAUUGGUUGCUCAAGGACAGUUGGAAGUAUAGUGAUAAUUCUGGAAGGACCAUAUUGACAUAGUCUGUAAGGAGGCAACUCUUGGUCAGAAGUGAUAGCCAAAAAUGGAAUCUGGAAAUGUUUCAGAGUUAGAAUUUUCAAUCUGUGUAAGAUUAAGGAAACUUAGUGCAAGAAGGAUGUUUCCAUGGAACUGAUCUCCUUUGGAAUGCUCUGUAAUCAUUAUGAGAGGAUCAAUGCAUAUAAGUUUAGAAUCUAAAAGAUUUCAGUAAAUGGCACGAAUUUGGAAUUCUUGCAUUUGCGGUAAGGAUUUGGGAGUGUGAAAAGAGAAUCAUUGAAGUUAUGUUCAAUUGAUCUAGUUCACAAAGUAAAGAUCAUAGACAAACAUAGUAUGCAUACUUGGUGUGUGGCAUGACUAGUGUUUAGAAAACCUAGUGUACAUGCUUGGAGCAUGGGACAACUAUUGUUUUAAAUUCAAGAAUAAAGUUGAUAGCUGAAACAGUAUACAAUGAAUAAUGUGUAAUCAUAUGGUGAUAAAUAAAAGGUGUUUUAUUUAUGUUCAAAGGGUUGAUACCAUAUUGGAUUCAAUUAUUAUUGUGUUUCAUUUUGCAUGUUUUGACUUCCCGAAUAAACUGGGUUAUUCUUCCGGAAUGACUAAGUUAUUCAAACCAUCCACAGUCGGUCAUAUGUUGGAAGUAGAUAUGAAUUAAGACUGUCAUGGGUUGGCUUGUAGAGGUCUAAGGUGUUGGACAAAGGGCUACAACACUCAUGAGUGCUCAUAAGUUCUGAGUAUUGGAUUCAACCCGCGCUCAUUGGAAUCACUUCAUGGAUUUUAUCACGAGUGAUCAUGAGACGAUAAUAUCUUAUAUUCUUCAAACCUAGAGAUAUGAGUUGUUACUAUGAGUUGAUAGUACAUUGAUUGCACGAAAACGCAUUUGGUAACUCGGUGCUAUAAAACGUGCCUUUGUGUAUGAUUCAACAAGUAGUAGAACAAGCCAUAUGAGUCGAAGUUUAUCCAUUCCUUUUACCUUCGGGAUAAAAGCGAUAUCUGUGGGCCCCUCGAUGAUUUGAUGAUGACAAAUGGAAGUGCUCGGCCGGGCCAGGACUGAUUUGAUUUGUUCAAUUAGUCAGUCGUCAUAAAUCGGAAAUCGGGAAACAACAAAUGGACAGAGAGAAUGAUUAUAAUCCAUGUCUCAGUCCAUAUGAUAUCUAGAAUGGAGGAAUAUAUGAUCCCUUAUCUAAUGGACAAGUCAUUGACAAAGGUCAGAGUUCAUCUACAAGGUCAGAGUUCGACAGAAGCUUUUGAGAGCUACGAUUGCCAGUUGGUUCCUGAAGUCAUACGCAAUAAUAGUUUUAGACUUAUCCAAGUGGGAGACUGUUGGAUUAAUGUCUAAGUCCAUAACUAUAAUUGGUAAGACUUGACCCGACCCGGCAUGGUCCAUUUGGGUUGCAUACCAUCAUGCACUUGGAUAGACUGUAAUGAGAGAAAUAAGACACUUAUGGUUAUUAAUAUAUUAUAAGUUCUAGUAUAUUAAUAAUAAGAAUAAUAAGAUUAUUUAAUUAGUAUUGAUCAAGAAUUAAUCUAGGAUUAAUUAAGUGAUCAAAAGAAGACUAAUUAAAUAUAUGGGUUGAUUGUGUAAAUCAUCCAUACUUGUAUAGUGGGCUAAUGCUCCAUGGAUAAUCAAGUUGGGCUAAAACCCAUAGGAUGGUCCAUGGAUGCUCCAUGGUGUAUUUGUACCCAUGGAUCAUGGAAAUGAAAGGCCAUGUCAAUUAGGGUUUACAUGGUGUAACCCUAACUAUAUAAGCAUCUUAUUCUUGACCAAAAUCGGCCACUAGAGCGUGAAGUGAAAGGGCUAGCCGAUUUCAUGAGUUGUAGAAUUCUCUCAAGUUAUUCUAAGUGUUUUGGUGAUUGUGAUUCCAUUUGAGGCUUCCACACUAUUGGGGCUAGGCACUCAAGCUUCAUGAAGACUUUCUACAUCAAAGAGGUAUGUAUUCUAUCUUGUUACAUUCAUUGUUUUGUAUGCUAGAUUAGGAUAAUACCUUGGAAGUUCUUAUUUGCAUGUAUAAUAGAGAAAACAUAGAUCCAAGGUAUUUAGGGUUGCAUGUACACUUAGGAGUGUUAGAAUGCUCAAAACCCAACAAUAGAGUUAUACAAUUAAACCAUUCCCCGUGGAUUCGAUCCCUUUACCACUAUACACUAUUUUAGAGUGUAACAUUUAGGGUAUUUAUUUUGUUGGCCUCGACACCCAUCAAAAACUCAUCCGACUCACCGAGUUGUUCUUCAACUCGUCGAGUCUUAUGGUGAUCUUCAUCGGACUCGUCGAGUUGUUCAUCCAACUCGUCGAGUUCACGACCAUCUUCAUGUGACUUGCCGAGUCAACCUUGCGACUCGUCGAGUCCAUUCAGUCCUUUUUCCAUACAGACUUGCUUUGAGCCAUGCAUACAUAGCUACAAAGGUUCUAAAUGCCAUUUCUAAGCUCUUAAUAGAACUUCAUGGUCAAGAGGGACCUCAAUCAUAACCAAUACAGCAACUUUAUGAUUCUAGAAUCCAAGGAGGAUCCAGAUCUGAAGUUACAAUUUCAGAUCUAGCCCAUAGGUCAUGUGUCCAACUUAACCCCCCCCCCCCUCAAAAAAAACCCCUAGAACUCAACCAAUAGAAGAGAUUUACAAGGAAAAAGGCGAUUUGGUUACCUCUAGAAGAUGAUAAAUGAGAUAAGAGAUGAUUCCCACACUCCACUUGCUCCAAUCUCCUUCUCCUCCAAGCCUUCUUCCUCCAAAGAUUCUAUUUUCAAGCUUCAAUCACACAAUGGGCACACACACUCAUGUAUUAGGGUUUUAAGAGCUCUCAAGGACUGCAAAGAGGCCAAAGGAGGCUGAGGCUCCUUUAAAUAGGGGUGCAAACCCCGGGAUUUAGGGUUUCAUCUGCCAGUUCCUACUCGCCGAGUCCCAAAGUGGACUCGUCGAGUAGGUCACUUAACACGCGAUCCCACCCCCGUUGCUACUCGACGAGUCGGUCGACCUACUCGUCGAGUAUAGCUUCAUCUAAAAAUUCUUAUAUAAAUAAUACCUGGGAAUCGGGGCGUUACAACUCUCCUCCACUUGAACUAGACUUCGCCCUCGAAGUCCGUUGGAAUAAACAAUGUUAGGUAAUGCUCGCGCAUCUCCGCUUCUGGCUCCCAUGUCCACUCGGAUCCCCUCCGAUGCUCCCACUGUACCUUUACCAAAGGUAUUUCCUUGUUUCGAAAAAUCUUCUUCUUCCUUUCCAAAAUAGUUAUAGGCCUCUCCACAUAGUUCAAGCAAUCAUCGACCUGAAUGUCAUCCAACGGUACCACUGCCUCCUGGUCCAUAAUGCACUUUCGCAAUUACAAAACAUGAAAUGUGUUGUGGAUCCGGCUAAGCUCCUCCGGAAGCUCUAGCCUAUACGCCACCCUGCCAACCCUGGCAACAACCCUGAACGGCCCAAUGUAAUGAGGACCCAAUUUUCCCCUCUUCCUGAAGCGGAUCACUCCCUUCCAGGGUGAGACCUUUAGGAGAACUAUGUCACCCACCUGAAAUUCCAACUCAGAUCGACGUCGGUCGGCAUAACUUUUCUGCCGACUCUGAGUGGUCUGCAGCCACUGUCUAAUCUGUUGUAUCAUCUCGGUAGUUUGCAGAACUACCUCUGUUCGACCCAUCACUCUGUGUCCAACCUCGACCCAGCAGACUGGGGUCCUACACUUCCGCCCAUAUAACAGCUCGAAAGGCGGGGCGCCAAUACUGGAAUGAUAGUUGUUGUUGUAGACGAACUCUACAAGCGGUAGGUGGGAAUCCCAACUCCCACCGAAAUCAAUGACGCACGCCCUCAACAUAUCAUCGAGGGUCUGUAAGGUCCGCUCACUCUGCCCAUCAGUCUGUGGAUGGAAUGUUGUACUAAAAUCCAACCUCGUACCUAGUUCCUCGUGGAACUUCUGCCAAAAACGGGAAGUAAAUCGGACAUCCCGGUCUGAAACUAUGGAAACGGGAACCCCAUGGCGAGAGGCAAUCUCGCGGACGUACAGGUCGGCCAACUUCUCCACCGACGAACUCUCCCGUAUAGCUAGGAAAUGAGCACUCUUGGUCAAUCGAUCCAUGAUGACCCAUAUAGCUGUUGGAUUAGUGUCUAAGUCCAUAACUAUUUUGGUAUGUACUUGACUCGAUGGUGCAUGGUCCUUUUGGGUUGCCUCACCAAAGCAACUUGAUAGGAUGAAUUAUGGAGAGAAUGGAUUAAUUAUGAUUUAUUAAUAUAUUAUGAGAAUAAUAUAUUAAAAGAGAAAUCAUAGUGUUUAAUUAAUAUUAGUGAAGAAUUAAUUGAUAAUUAAUUUUGUAGCUAAAAGAGAUUAAUUAAAAUUAAGGGACUGGAACUGUAAUUAUAAGAUAAUUGCAAUUGGGCUAUGGAUAACUUAAUAAUAUAUAAGUUGGACGAAUUCUAUGGGGAAGCCCAUUAGAAAUCGUCCAAGGGAUAUACUAAAGGAAUCCAUGGGCUGCUUAGGGCUUAAGCAGUCAGAUUAGGGUUUCCUAGUUGAAAACCCUAAUAGCCUACAUGUAUAUAUAGUACCCUUAAGCCCCAAAAACGUGGCUAUGAGUUACUCUAGGGUUUUUGGACGAUUUGGGAAGCCUCCCCUCUUCUUAUUCUUCAUCCUCUUGCUCUUGGUUUUUGUAAGCCAUUAGAGGAGUGAAACUUGUGACUCUAAGCUUUCUAAAGUCAUUACAAGGAGGAUUUGAGAUUGUUAUUGCUACAUAACAAUCAAGGUAAGAUCUAAAAACCCUUUCACAUGUUAAUAUGAUUAAUUGUAUGCUAGAACUAGGGUUUAAAGUCUUGGAUGAAUUGCAUGUACAAUAGAGAAACCUAGAUCCAAGCAUUAGGGUUUGCAUGAGCACAUAGGAUGUUCUUAUGGCCAAAACCCAUCAGUGGUAUAAGAGCCUUGAUUCAUUUCUAUUGUAUUGAUGACUAGUAUAUUCAUUCUUGUUGCAAAAUCGAUUUUUUGGCCCCGUGAUUGGUGAACUCGGCGAGUUCCAAUGUGGACUCGGCGAGUUCGAGCGUCAGUUAGGCGGAUUUUCAGGAUUUUAUCUAUUUUGACUUAGGAUAAUUGCCAUAAUUGUUUAAAAUUAAUAAAAUUCGAAUUUUAUUGAUUCCUUAUGAUUAUCUUUGUCAAAAUAAAAGAUUUUGGUCAUCUAAUUAGAUAAUUGUUACCUUAUUUGAUAAAUGUUAAAUUAUUUGAAUUAUUUGAUCAUUAUCUUGCAAGAAUUUGAACUAGAUCUAAUUAGAUAACCACCAAUUAAUUGUUAAUUGCCUUAUUUGAAUUAUGUGAUCUAGAAUAUUCUUAAUAAAGUUUGGAAAAGUUUCAAAAUAAUCUCUUUAGGUUUUAUAGUUUAAAUUUGAACAUAAAAGUUUUGUUUUUGAAAUUUAAAUAAGUUAAACCCUAAUGUUUUGAAAUGUUUCAAAACUUGCCCUCAAGUUUUGGAAUUUAAAAGUUGAUUAAAAGUUUAAUUUAGAAAUGUUAAAUUCUAAAACCCUAGUAUUGUUUUGAAAAGUUCAAAUCACACCCUUAUGGUUUUAUUAAUUAAUUAAAGUGUAUAAUUAAAAGAGAUUUAAUAAAUCCAUAAAGUUUUGGUUUACAAUUUAAUUAAAUUAAAAGUAUAAUUAUUAAAUUUGACCACCUAGUAUUUUAAAAGUGUAAAAUAUACCCUAUACUAUAUAUAACAUUAAAAGUCUAAUAUUAUAUAUAUGUAUGACUAAAAGUCAGUCUUACCGUUAGUAGGCCUCAUUCACGAAGCUGGUCUAUAAGGGGUGUUUAAGGAAAUUGCCUAUAAAAUGGCGAUUGAAUGGGUAUCCACUCUUACCCACCGCACUCUUGACUAGUGGAGGGUCGUUAGCCGAACGGGUAGGAUAGGACGAAACCUUCCAUUAUAAGUAUAAUGAAGUAUAAAAGUAACUAAAUGUUUUCAUAAAAUUCCCAAUCUUAGUUACUUAGGCAAAAGUGAAUUGAUGCAAUUCCAUGAAAUUACACUUUGUGCCCUUGCGAAGACGUUAGUGGAGCGUGUGUGGUUUACCGGCACACUAAAUGGUUCUAAGCAAAGGUAGCAAAGGGUGACUCAAUGUUUGUCAUAGUUCGGUGGAGCGUGUGUGGUUUACCGGCACAUCGAAUAGGUGACUGUAACAUGUGAGGGCACCAUGUAAGUUUGCAUGGUUAUUCACACCCGCUUUGUGAUCCUCGGCAUCCCAGUCACAAACUAGAGGGGCAUAUCGAGAUUUAAACAUGCCAUUGAAAUGUUCAAUGAAUCUCAAAGGAUCUAGGAGUUUUCAUAGAUUUAAAACUUAAAUUUCUUUUUCGUUUUUCAUGGUGGAAAUUAGUGAAUCGUCAUUCACUUACCUUCAAAUGUUCUGCAAUUUGGGUUACGGCAUCCCUCUCCCGAGUUGUAGAAUAUUGUGUUGGGUCCUAGCCUUAGUAUCUCAUUUGGGUGAUUUACUAAGGACUCAAUCAAUCAACUAACUUGAAUUCGUUUUCUCCCGUUUUGUAGAUGUCAAAGUUCGACAACUAUGGUCUUCCCAAAUCCCGUGGAACAAGCAUUCCACAUGAAGAUGAUAUUCCACGAUUCGAUCGAGGAACAAGAAAUCAUGCUUCACUUCCUCCACCUCCUCCAAUUAUUCUCCCUAACCCACAAGUUCAAAGGCUUGAAAAGUUCAAGAUCACUCAAGCCCUUUUGGCAAGUAAACAUAAAGAAGGAAAGUCGGUGUGUGCACACGUCCUAGGGAUGAAGUCACACAUUGAUAGGUUAAGAAUGUUGGGAUCCGUUGUCUGUGAGGAAAUGGCUGUUGAUUGGGUUCUUCAGUCACUUCCUAACUCAUAUAGUGAGUUCGUAAGAGAGUACUAUAUGAUGAACUGCGACGUGACCCUUAUAGAUCUCACCUAUAUGCUUAUUGCUGCUGAAUCAGCAAUGGUUUGGCGCAAUAGAAAAGCAAAGUUGAUUGGUGAAUCUGCCUUCAAGACCUCUAUGGAUAUAGACAAUGGCAACGAAAGACAUGCUAUGAUCGAAAAGUUUGAUCAUAAGAGAAAGGCAAUGUCUGAAGUAGUUCCAUGUCAUGUUCCAAAAGAGUCAAUUUGCUUUUAUUGCCAAGAGAAAGGGCAUUGGAGACGAAGCUGCCCCAUUUACCUAAGAGAUCUAAGAGAUGGGAGAGUCGAAACGUAUGGCUCUAAUAUAGGUAAAAUCCAUUAACUAACUCUUUUAAGCUUCUAUUCUAGAUUCUUAAUACAUAAUGUGAUAAGAUUACAAUUGAUGUUUUGUAGGAUCGAAGAAAAGAAAGGAAGCUUAAGGGAAGAAGUGAGCAGAAUCUAACCGUGAAGGAAUGGAUUUCGAUCGCAUUACUUGAAGAUUAGAUUCUUGAGCUACUACUUAGAGUUAGAAUUAGAUUGCUAAGAAAGAUGUAUUAGCAUAGUUUUUCAAUGAAUUGCAUUGUAAGGACAAAUUUUUCCGCAAUAAAAUAAAUUUUGAUUUUAAAUUUUAUUUAUUUAUCCUUACAAUGGCGUGUAUGAAAAAUUGAUGUUAAAAUGUUUCUAUUAUUAGCAAUAAUGGAUUUGGUUCUUAUUAUGUUAUUUAUGGAAAGUCGAGAAUUUACCAAAUAGGGAGAGUUUCUCAUCGCCCAAGUUUCAAUUGGACAGAAACUUGGAAUCAUGCAACUUGGUUGCACGAUGAAUGAGAAAUUUCAUAUUUGGAAAUUAGACUAAUUCAUUGACAAAGUGUCAAGUGAAGGACUAGGAGAUCGAGUACACAAAGUUGCGUGUUGAUCAAGUCCACCAUAAGAGUAACAAAGAUAUUCGUCAUGAUUUACUAAAGGUUUAGUAAAUAUGAUUAUACUUAUAAGAUUAAGUGUAAUUCUGAAUUGAUUGAAAAAGUUUAAAUCAAUAGCAGAACGAAUAAGAAGAAUCAAGUAGGCAGAAAGAUAAAAGUUUCUCCAUUCUAAGAAGAAGGGAGAGUACCUUUUAUGCUUUAUGAUAGGUCUUAAUGAUUAAGAACCAUAUCUCAAUUGAUCCUCUAAGUGAGUCUUAGUACAAUUGUAUGUCUAAGAAGAGGAAUCAAGAAUUGAAGAAAUGGUUAAAUCAAGAAGUCAAUCAUACUUCGUUCCAAAACAAGUCUUAGAGUUAAGAUUGUGACAUUGAGUGACAAGUCUUAAGAAGGUUUAUAACAUUCAUUAAAUGUGGAAAGUUGUGAUGUCUUGGAUAAGACAAAGACCAACUAGGACCAAUUUAUGAAGUGUUUUGAUAAAAGCUACACUAACUCUUGAAUAUUUGUUUGUCAAGAAAUGUUUAUUGACAAGAGAAUCUUAUAUGUCAAGGAGUCAGUGGGAGUCUUAAUGGUCUUGAAAGGUUUCAAGAACAAAUCAAGAAUAAACCUUAUCAAUCAUCACUAGCACACGACUUGAGGUUUACAACCUAUCGUGUUGACAUUAUUUUGUUUCUGUGCCAUUCCAAUUGAGUUAAUUAUGCAUGUGAGUUCUAUGAGUUCUCAUUUGAACGCAUAAAAGGCAAGCACCUUGAUCAAUGAAAAGUACAUUGAUAGGAAAGGGUGAGCUGCUUAACUACUUGGAAGACAUGGUGGGCACUCGUGUUACCAUAAGGCAAGAAAUCAAGAUUGAGAAAGUUCAGUCCAUAUGAGUUUGGAUUUGUCGCAAACUUUGGUUUUGACAAAUUCGCAUGGAUAGGAACACAUACACCAUUAAAAUCUAAGUGUCAUAAGAUUCCCUCCUUCAUGAAAAUGACUGUGAGGAAAUGCUUUCACUAAUAGAGAUUUUAAGAAGAUAGUGAUUGUGAAAUUGUAUUCUCGAAUUCGAUUAUGGUUACGGUAUCCCUUUCCAUGAUUCGAAUUGUGAGAUUUGGCAAUUAGUCUGAAUUGUUUAGACACACAUAUGAGCUAUCUAAGGCAAAGGUGUAUAAGUUUGAGAAGCUUAGAUAAAGGAUUAUCAAAGCAUUAGGUAUUAGAAAUAUGAACUUAAGAAAUUCAAUAGGUAUUGUUUUCUGGAAGUUAAGCUGUUUUCUGAAUACAUGUCAAAGCUAGUGGGAGCAUAAGUGUUAUGCUUAUAUGAUAAUAAUCAUCAUGAUAGUGGGAGCAUAAAAGUUGUGAUUGUAUGAUUAUUAUGGCAAGUAUUGCAAGUUAACAAUAUUAAUUAUAGAAAACAAGAGUUAUACUUUGCAAAGUCGCAAGGGUUGAAAAGUUGUUUUGCUAUAUAGUUAAGGGAGAGAAUAUUAUGCUUCAUUUCAAAUCUAAAGGCUUAGGUUGUGGAAUGUUAAUAAAUUUAGUCAAGGAUACCUAGUGCGUUCUCAAAAUUUCGAUUAUGAUUAUGGCAUCCCUCUUCAUAGUUCGAAUUUUGAGAACGUGACACAUAAAAUAUUAUGGCAAAAGAUUGAUAAAGUAUCGUAUCUUUAUGUAAGACAUUAUGCAUCGUGUCCCAUACGCUUCGGGUAUAGGAUCGAUUGCAAAUGCUAUAAUAUUUGACCAUUCUAAAAUUUUCCAAAUGUCUAGCGCAUUUAGAGGGAAAAAGGACAAGAAUCGGUUUUGACUAAGAUAAUUAAACAACUAUCAAAGGACGAUCCAAAGUUCGCUGAGAAUUGGUCGCUUGUGAGUAGUUGGAAAUAUGAUAUUGGAUGGACCAUAUCGACAUUAUUAUGAAUAGAUAAGAUUCUAUUAAGAAUGAGUUGUCAUAAGGAAAAUAUGGAAAUGUUUCCAUAUUAGGAGUUGGAAAUUGAGAGUCUAUGGCAAGAUUAGAAAAUUUUAUGCAUAAGGAUGUUCAAGGAAUGUACUUUGAAUGAGAGACACCACGUCUAUGGAAUUGUCUUGUAACAAUCUCCAAUAAAGAAUUUUGUAAUUUCAUUGGCAAUAGUCAUUGUGACUUUUGCGCUAUGACUUUACAAAAGGAUCAUUGCAUAAAAUGUUAGAAUCUAGCAUAUUCUAUGAGUGGCAAGAAUUUGAUAUUCUUAUACUUGUGAUAAGGAUUGGGAGUUGUGAAAUGAGUAUGAUUGGAAAUGUGUUCAUUUGAUCUAUUUCACAAAGUAAGGACCGUAGGUAAACAUUGUGUGCAUGCUAAGAGCAUGGGACAAGUGUAGUAAUAAUUCAAGUAAGAAGUUGAUUACCCGAAACAACAAAUAAUGAGUAAUCGAUAUGGUGAUAAAUAAAAGGUGUUUUAUUUAUGCUCAAAGGUUUGAGGCCAUAUGGGAUUAGUAUUAUUCUUGUGUUUCACUUUGCAUGUUUUGACUUUCUGAAUAAUUAAUUAUUUUAGAAUAAUCAAAUUAUUCAAACGGACCACAGUCGUUCAUAUGUAGGUAUGAAUGAAGACUGUCGUGAAUUGGUGUGUGGAUUGUCUAAAGUGUAUUAGACAUAAGCAAAUGUUUGUUGCAACGUUCCUGAGUGCUUAUGAAUAUGAUUUAAUCAUUGGAUUAAACCCAUGCGCACUUGGAUCACUUCAUGGAUUUUAUCGCGAGUGAUUGGUGAGACGAUAACAUCUUAUAUUCUUGAAACCAAGAUGUGUGAGUUGUAUCUUACGAGUCGGUUGCACAUUGAUAAUAUGUAAACGCACCAGUAGCUUGGUGUUAUAAAACGUAUCGUUGUGUGUAAUUCGGUAAGUGGGUGCAAGCGAGCAUUGAGUCAAAGUUUAUCCGUUCCUUUUAUCCAAAGUAGGAUGAAAGCAAUAUUUGUGGGCCCCUCGAUGAUUUAGUGAUGACACCUAAGCGCUUGGCCAAGCGGGGACUAAUUUGAUGUGUUCAAUUGUAGUCUGUUGUCAGUCGUCAUAAAUCGGAAGUCGGGAAACAGUAUAGAGAGAAUUAUUUAAAUCCAUGUCUCAGUCUAUACGAUAUCUAGAAUGGAGGAAUAUAUGAUCCCUUAUCUAAAGGACACGCUUCUGAUAAGAUCAGAGUUGACAGUGGCUUUUGAAAGCUACGAUUGUAGAUCAAGAUCUGAAGUCAUACACAGAAUAGCUAUUAGACUUAUCCAAGUGGGAGACUGUUGGAUUAGUGUCUAAGUCCAUAACUAUUUUGGUACGUACUUGACCCGAUGGUGCAUGGUCAUUUUGGGUUGCCUUCACCAAAGCAACUUGAUAGGAUGAAUUAUGGAGAGAAAGGAUUAAUUAUCAUUUAUUAAUAUAGUAUGAGAAUAAUAUAUUAAAGGAGAAAUCAUAUUGUUUAAUUAAUAUUAGUCAAGAAUUAAUUGAUAAUUAAUUUUGUGGCUAAAAGAGAUUAAUUAAACUUAAGGGACUGGAACUGUAAUUAUAAGAUAAUUGCAAUUGGGCUAUGGAUAACUUAAUAAUAUAUAAGUUGGACGAAUUCUAUGGGGAAGCCCAUUAGAAAUCGUCCAAGGGAUAUACCAAAGGAAUCCAUGGGCUACUUAGGGCUUAAGCAGUCAGAUUAGGGUUUCCUAGUUGAAAACCCUAAUAGCCUACAUGUAUAUAUAGUACUCUUAAGCCCCAAAAACGUGGCUAUGAGUUACUCUAGGGUUUUUGGAGGAUUUGGGAAGCCUCCCCUCAUCUUGUUCUUCAUCCUCUUGCUCUUGGUGUUUAUAAGCCAUUAGAGGAGUGACACUUGUGACUCUAAGCUUUCUAAAGUCAUUACAAGGAGGAUUUGAGAUUGUUAUUGCUACAUAACAAUCAAGGUAAGAUCUAAACCCCAUUCAUAAGUUAAUAUGAUUAAUUUUAUGCUAGAUCUAGAGUUUAAUGUCUUGGAUGAAUUGCAUGUACAAUAGAGAAACCUAGAUCCAAGCAUUAGGGUUUGCAUGAGCACAUAGGAUGUUCUUAUGGCCAAAACCCAUCAAUAGCAUCGAAACCCUUUGCCGUCUUUGGCAACUUCGUGAUGAAAUCCAUCGUGAUCCAUUCCCAUUUCCACAUGGGGAUCUCCAGGGGCUGCAGCUUACCAUGCAGCCUCUGGUGCUCAGCCUUGACCAUCCUACAGGUCAAGCACCUCUCAACAAACCAAGCGAUAUCUCACUUCAUGCCCGGCCACCAAUAACUCGAAAUCAGAUCAUGGUACAUCUUGGUGGCUCCCGGAUGAAUAGAGAACCGAGACUUAUGAUCCUCCUCCAUCACUGUCUUCCGGACCCCUCCGGUCAUCGGAACCCAAAUCCGACCGUAACGGGUCAACAAUCCGCGGCUAUCCUGAACAAACCGGGCGCUUUCGCCCUAAAUCUUCUCCAACUUCCAGUUCUCUGGUCUCAUACCCUCAAUAUGAGAAUCCCUUGUAACAUCCGGAUUCCCAGGUAUAAUAUUUAUUCAUUUAUUUUGGAGUUUGUGGAGGAACUCGGCGAGUUGGUGCUUACACUCGCCGUGUAGGGUCGUGGAUUUUCAUCCGGGUUCACGACUGGACUCGGCGAGUCCAUGAGUGGACUGGACGAGUCUACGCUGUUUAAUAAAACCCUAAUUUCCCGGGUUUGGGACCUAUUUAAAGGCCCUUAGGGCCGUCAUUUGCUGCCACCAAACCCCAGAGAGAAACACUAAGAGAUCUAGAGCGUUUGUGAGGAAGCAGAGGCCAUUUUUGAUCAUUUUGUUGGUGUGAUUUCAAGAAGGAGAUGACCAAGGCAAGAGGAGGCUGAAGGAGGUGCGAUUCUAGUGAUUUCAGAGUUCAGAGACUUCAUCUUGAGGUACUUAUUCGGACCUUCUUCAGUUUUGGUGUUGAUUCAUAGAGUUAGAGUUUUCUAACCCCCUUUAGAUGAUGGUUAUGUGGAGCAAUUGGUCCCUUCUCGAGUUUAUGCUUUGGAUCUAGACUCAAAGAGGUCCAGAGACCUUAACCCUUGGAGCUUUAUGAGUUAUUUUGGGGGCUAUGAACUUAGGAUGUCAUUUUUGGGGCUAAAUCACCAAGUGAUACCAUCUAGAUGAUAUAUGAGUGUCAAGGUCUGAACUUUACGUGAUUAUCAUGCUUGGGAAGGCCAGAUCUAUGGAUUAAAGGAACAGAUCUAACCUCAGGAGGUCAAUGGAGUUUGUGCAUGGCAUGAACUCGCCGAGUCCAAAGAUCAGACUCGGCGAGUAGGGUUAGGGUUAGGGUUUCACGUAAAUCACUCAGUGAGUAGACUUGUCGAGUUGGGGGAAUAACUCAGUGAGUCAGAGGGGGAUUAGAGGAUUGGAGUUCAAGGCGGAACUCGCCGAGUUGUUCUUGAGACUCGGCGAGUUGAGUUGGGGUGGCCCUACGAUUCAUUCCAGGUGUGACUCGUCGAGCCAGGGGAGGGACUCGACGUGCCAAGCGGGAAUAAAGAGUUAGUGGACACGUGUAUACUCGUCGAGUCGCCAAAGUGCACUCGACGAGUCGGGUCAAAGUUUGACCGUUGAAUUUUGUUGACUUUUAGGGUUCGGUCAGCGAUGUGGCCUUUGGGCUAAGAGAGGGGUAAAAUGGUCUUUUACCCUUAAGAGGGUGCCAAGAGAGGGUUGAUUCUAGUCUCGAGAGUUAUAUUUAUGAGAGUAUUUGCCUUAUGUGUUAGGCGGUGGCGAGUUCGAGAUUCAAGUGUGAGGAUAUCUACUUUCUGCUUGCCAGGUGAGUCUUCUCACUAUACUUUACCUAGAGUGGUAACAGAGUUAUGUGACAGAGUUAUUGUAUGUUAUCUAUGUGAUGUGUGGCACCGCAUUAUUUCUAUGUGAUUUAUGUUGUAUGUAUAUCAGAGAUAGGACUAGAAGGUCCACAGAGCUAGGACCAGAGGGUCCGCAGAGUUAGGGGCCAAGGGCCCACAGAGUUAUAGCCUCGAGUGGAUAAUAUGUGCUAUAUGUGGUGUUUUUAAUAUUAUGUGCCAGUGUAUUUGUAUGUUAUUUAUGUAUUGAGAUUUAUUGUGAUAUGUGAUAUGCAUGAUUCAGAGUUAGGACCCUUGGGUCCAUAGGCCAGAGGGCNGGCCCACAGAGAGUUGGGACUGGAGGGUCCCACUGAGACACACUGACCGGAGGGUCAACAGAGAUUAUAGCCUCAAGUGGCUAAUAUGUGUUAGAGUGGUAUUUUGGGGAACUCACUAAGCUUCGUGCUUACAUUGUUUUGUGUUAUGUGUUUCAGGUUAUCACAGGAUCACGGGACGCCACCGGCUCGAUUGUACACACCAAAGGAAGCGUUUGCUUUGAGGAUCCUGGUGUAUUAAUUGAUUGAAGAAAAGAUUCAUGUAUUUCAAUUUAAAAAAAAGGAGAUUUUUGUGAAAAGUGUUACAAGUUGGUAUCGGAGCCUUGGUUUGAGGGAUUCGGAUGCACCUUCGGGUAAAUCUGGACUCAAACUGAGGAAGUAAGAAAAGUUUUCAAAGAAAUGAUUUUCUAAAGUGAAUAAGAGUUCAAAGAAAAAGCGAGAAAGAGCAGUGUGUACAAUCACCCAGAGGCCGUACGGUGAUUUCCCAAAAUACCCUUACUUUUGUGUUAUGAGAUAUUUAUGAUGCACUUUAUGAGAUAUUAUGCAUGCUAGAGACAGGCUAGGUACUUCAUAUCUUAGGACUAGAGUGAUCUGAUUUGUGAUGCCUUAGCCUAGGAGUUGUUGUUAUAUGUGAUGUGCUUUUGAGUAUGUGAUGAGUGAGAAUAUUCAGUUGGAAUCCUUUUAGGGGAUUUGAGUAGAGGAGUAAUCUAGGGGAGAUGCCUAGAUGAGUACCGUGGUGCUUAUCGAAAGAAUAGUUAGAACCCGCAAGGGGUAGAGUUGCGGAGUUCGGUGGUACUUUCGAGGAUGAGCAGAGCAAGCAGAGUUAUCACCCAGAGUGAGUCCUAUGUAUUCUUCGAUGCCCGAAUGUUGCUUGCUUCGUGCUUUGUGGAACUCUCGAUGAUGGGAGCCAGCUACCAAGUGAAUAUGACGAUAUUCAGGAGGUAGAUGGUUGGCAUCAUUAAGAGCUCUUCAGCAGCUGAUGGCAGAGAAGUGAGAGGACCAAGGAAGAGCCUAGGGAGUAACCUUAGUCAGAUGAGUAUGCUGACGGAGUAGAGCAUUUCACUGAGGAGCGAGAAUGCGUGGUGGAAUUAGUGAACGAGAAGGUUGAGCAGCUACUUAGGAGCUCUGGAAUGGUCCGUGUGGAAAGUAUGGGUAGAUGUGGCAGGUAGUAUGGGCCCGUACUACCGAAAGUAGAGGACCCAUACUCGAUACAAGGAGUAUUCUGAAGGUUCUAAGGAGUAGAUUGAGGAGUGAUGUUAUGGUUUGAGUACCAUACAUUGGAGCAGAUUGAGGAGUGAUGUUAUGGUUCGUGUACCAUGCAUCGGAGCAGAUUGAAGAGUGAUGUUAUGGUUCGUAUACCAUGCAUCGGAGCAGAUUGAGGAGUGAUGUUAUGGUUCGUGUACCAUACAUCGGAGCAGAUUGAGAAAUGAUGUUAUGGUUCGUGUACUAUGCAUCGGAGCAGAUUGAGGAGUGAUGUUAUGGUUCGAGUACCAUAUAUUGUAGCAGAUUAAGAAGAGAUGUCCUAGGUUGAGUACCAUGGUUCUUAGCAAAUGAUGCUUGUGAUUCUCCGGUUGUCCGGUCAGGAUUGAUUAUUGGAAUUCGGACGCGAUGGGGUUUUAGGCCUGGGGGCCAUGAUUAAGUCCGAAGAGGCAUCCCUAAGAGGGAGGUCGAGAUCACUUCAGAGUAUUUUGGUAAGAUGCCAAAUGUAGUCGCAAGACUCAGGGAUUAGUGGAAAAGGCAUUUAUGGGGGAUUGUGGUUUGAGUGAGCAAUCAACCGAUGGAGGAGAUGUCACCUUCUGUGACCUGAGGGGUGCUAUUUAUGUUUCCUAUGGGAAACAGGAGAGGCGUGAGAUUUCAGUUUUGGGUUUAGGAGUAAACCCUACGGGUUGACAUUGAUGGCGAUUUUUCCACCAGAGUAUCAGGCAGCAUGUCUGCCGCGAGGAAAUGAUCUACCAUGAGCAGGUAGUCAGUGGGGACUGAGAUGGUCAAGGACCACAUUACACCCUAAUUGAGUAUAGUAGGGCGUGCGGCAGCGGUAUCAGCGAGUAAUCCAGUCGAGUGUAUCAGAGCGGUGGCUCUUCUGUCUAUGAUGAGUAUUGAGUAUGGUAGUGGAGUCCCUAUUCUUGUGAUAAUUCAUGUGUUGGAAUGGGGGUUGAAAAGUCGAGGAUGGGGAGUAUAAUGAUUUAUUGUUUCAGUCUAAGAGUCAGUGAUAGUAUUGGACAGUUGAGAUGUUUGGUAUUGGGAUGGUAUGUGACUUCGAAUGGCUAGAGGCAGUCGUAAUGAGAAGUUCCUGAGGAUUUCAUCAGAGAUUUAGGGUAAUUGAGGUAUCUUGAUCUCUACAUGGGGAAAUCAUUGGGCGUUGUGUGGCACCUUCCAAGCGUAGUUGCGAUGUUUCUGGUGUAAACCGUCUGUGGGGUAGAUUGUUGAUGCGUCAAUUGGUGAUGGUUUGAACCCUAAGUGGGGGAGAACCGGGUAUUUUACUGAGGGAACCAGAGAUUUGUGCAAGAGCGGUUAGGGAUUAGAUACAGAAAACCUGUAACUCGAAUUCAUAAGACCAGGGUCAUUGGUGAUCAAGGAAAGGUGCAUAGUGAGAUAAUGCAUGAGACCUUAACCCUUGGAGCUUUAUGAGUUAUUUUGGGGACCAUGAACUUAGGAUGUCAUUUUUGGGGCUAAAUCACCAAGUGAUACCAUCUAGAUGAUAUAUGAGUGUCAAGGUCUGAACUUUACGUGAUUAUCAUGCUUGGGAAGGCCAGAUCUAUGGAUUAAAGGAACAGAUCUGACCUCAGGAGGUCAAUGGAGUUUGUGCAUGGCAUGAACUCGCUGAGUCCAAAGAUCAGACUCGGCGAGUAGGGUUAGGGUUGUUGGAUUAGUGUCUAAGUCCAUAACUAUUUUGGUAUGUACUUGACCCGAUUAUGAGCAUGGUCCUUUUGGGUUGCCUUCACCAUAGCAAUAUGUAGGAUGAAUUAAGGAGAGAGAGGUUUAAAUAUGAUUUAUUAAUAUAUUAUGAGAAUAAUAUAUUAAAGGGGAAAUUAUAUUGUUUAAUUAAUAUUAGUCAAGAAUUAAUUAAGAAUUAAUUUUGUGGCUAAAAGAGAUUAAUUAAAUUUAGGGGACUGGACUGCAAUUAUUGGAUAAUUGAGUUAUUAGGCUAAGUAAUGCUAAAGGAGUAAGGGGUGAACGAAAUAAUGAUGGAAGCCCAUCAUAUUUUCGUCCAUGGCCUUAUCCAGAAGGUUCCAUGGGCAGCUUAGAGUUUAAGUUGUCCAUUAGGGUUUUAACUGAAACCCUAGCAGCCCACACAAGUAUAUAAAGGACCCCUUAGGCUCCAAAAACGUGUGGAACUGAUUAUCUAGGGUUUCUAGCCGUUUUUGGGCAGCCUCCUUUCUUCUCUUCUUCAUCCAAGUUGUAUAUGGUGUUUGUGACUCCAUUAGAGGUGCAGCACUUGAGGCACUAAGCUUUUGAAGCCAACCCAAGCAAGGAAUUGAUUGUUAUUGCAAUAUAACAAUCAAAGGUAUUUCUAUAAACCCUAAUUCAGUUUAUAAUAUGUUAGAUAUAAGUUUAUUAGUCUUGGAUUCAAAGCAUGUACAAUAGAGAAACCUAGACCCAAGCAUUAGGAUUUGUAUGAGCACAUAGGAUUGUUCUGAUGCAUAAAACCCAUCAAGGGUUUCACGUAUAUCACUCAGUGAGUACACAUGCCGAGUUGGGGGAAUAACUCAGUGAUUCAGAGGGGGAUUAGAGGACUGGAGUUCAAGGCGGAACUCGCCGAGUUGUUCUUGAGACUCGGCGAGUUGAGUCAGGGUGGCCCCGCGAUUCAUGCUAGGUGUGACUCGUCGAGCCAGGGGAGGGACUCAACAUGCCAAGCGGGAAUAAAGAGUUAGUGGACACGUGUAUACUCGCCGAGUCGCUAAAGUGCACUCGACGAGUCGGGUCAAAGUUUGACCGUUGACUUUUGUUGACUUUUAGGGUUCGGUCAGCGAUGUGGCCUUUGGGCCAAGAGAGGGGUAAAAUGGUCUUUUACCCUUAAGAGGGUGCCAAGAGAGGGUUGAUUCUAGUCUCGAGAGUUAUAUUCAUGAGAGUAUUUGCCUUAUGUGUUAGGCGGUGGCGAGUUCGAGAUUCAAGUGUGAGGAUAUCUGCUUUCUGCUUGCUAGGUGAGUCUUCUCACUAUACUUUACCUAGAGUGGUAACAGAGUUAUUGUAUGUUAUCUAUGUGAUGUGUGGCACCGCAUUAUUUCUAUGUGAUUUAUGUUGUAUGUAUAUCAGAGAUAGGACUAGAAGGUCCACAGAGCUAGGACCAGAGGGUCCGCAGAGUUAGGGCCCAAGGGCCCACAGAGUUAUAGCCUCAAGUGGAUAAUAUGUGCUAUAUGUGGUGUUUUUAAUAUUAUGUGCCAGUGUAUUUGUAUGCUAUUUAUGUAUUGAGAUUUAUUGUGAUAUGUGAUAUGCAUGAUUCAGAGUUAGGACCCUUGGGUCCAUAGAGUUAGGGCCAGAGGGCCCACAGAGAGCUGGGACUGGAGGGUCCCACUAAGACACACUGACCGGAGGGUCAACAGAGAUUAUAGCCUCGAGUGGCUAAUAUGUGUUAGAGGGGUAUUUUGGGGAACUCACUAAGCUUCGUGCUUACAUUGUUUUGUGUUAUGUGUUUCAGGUUAUCACGGGAUCACGGGACGGCACCGGCUCAAUUGUACACACCAGAGGAAGCGUUUGCAAGGCGACACAGCCAUAAAACUUAUCCCACGACUCUUACCCUGCUUAUACUAGGUUUUAAACACUCUAUUUGACUCCAAACAGUGCUAGAAAAUAGUAAAACGAGCUAAACUUUGAUAAGAAAUGAAGAGUGUAAGCUAGAAAUUUUCGGGUUGUCACAUCACCACAACUCCCUAAUACUAUACUCAACAUAAUGUGCGCUCAACCGUCACUACUAGGGGACAUCGCCUAUCUCACUACUGAUCCCACAACUUUGCACAACUCACACCUCCAUGGAACUUCCAUCAGCCCCUGCAACGCUAGUGUAUGCUAGCCGCACAUAACGCUGGACCCGAUAGACUUUCGAAUAUCCAACCCUACCCUAAGGUCGAGUCAAACAUUCUCAGGCCUUAAGAUCUUAACUAUACACUGUAGUGAUGCAUACAAUAAACAUCUACAAUUAUGAUGUCAAUCCCAUAUACAAGAAACCCUAGGCUAAUAGGUAUCAUAUAAUCAGGCAAAUCCAUCAUGCGAUUCCUGAAGAUCCCUAGCCUAGCACUAGCAUGUUGUUCUAACAUAUCAGAAUAUCAAAUAACUGUAUGGUAUUUUGGGGUUUACUUACAGGCUCCGGUUGAUCGUACCCUCUGCAUCCGCCAUCCUUUCUUUUGAAAACCAUUUUUGAAAACUUACUUCCCAAAAAUCUCCUUGGUUUGAGAAUGGAUUCACACGAGUGUUCCUCCAAUUCACUCAAACCAAGGCUCUGAUACCAACUUGUAACGUCCAAAAAUUUCACGCCAAAUUCAAACUUUUUCAACCAUAAAUAAAAGACAAAUAGUAUUGUUUACAAAAUGUUUUAAAAUCAAUAUCCAACAGAGUUUCCCAAAAUCAUAACAUAAGGAUGAGGAGCGGUACGGUCACGCCUUCGCCUUGCCACGAUCUCUUGAAGUACCUGAAACAAUAAACUGAAAAGUGUAAGCCCGAGGGCUUAGUGAGGUACCCCCAAAAUACCAAUACCACACUGACAAUACCAUAUCAGUAACAAUCAAUCAAUCAAUCAUGCAUACUGGGCCAUCGACCUAACUGGACCGCCCUACUGGGCCUACAGUUUAUCUGAACCUAUUCAUGUAUACUUGGCCAUCGGCCUGACUGGACCGCCCUACUGGGCCUACAGUCUAUCAGAAUCUAUCCUGAGCCUUCGGAAUGACUGGUCCGCCUUGUGGGCCUGCAGUCUCCCCGGACCGCUCAUAGGGUAUGUUGUCCUUCAGCACAAAGCAGGACCGCCCCAACCCAACCAAUAAGCAAAUAACCAAGUUCGCAUAACUAUCACAUACUGGCAUAUACAAACAUCAAACAUAUCUGUCAUACUGAUCAUUAACCAUAGAAUCCUCUCGUAACGAGAGUACCGACCUAGCAGGUCACUAGCAUACCAAUCCAUACGGAUCAUAAAGCAUACAUAUUGUCUACCCUGAUUCCGAUCUAGCAGACCAAAUCAUAUAUAGCAUACCAUAACAAUAACAACUAAAGGGUCGGCCUUGGUGCCAUAGACCCUAUCGAUAUAGUGACGAUAACUCACCUCGCAGAUGUCGACUCGGAAGAUAAACUCCAACUCUCGAAUCACUUGACACAGUCUCCACCAUCUAUGACCAUAAUACAAUAUACUCAUAAGUCCUUAACCUUAUAAGGUACUCCAUAACCCACCAGUCAACCCCUGGUCAAAGUCAAAGUCCUUAGUAAAGGUCAACAGUCCAUGUUGACCCCAACUCGCCGAGUACCCUCGGCUACUCGCCGAGUGCCUUGAUGCACAUCCCACUCGCUAAGUCAUCGGGGUGACUCGUCGAGUUCCAUCGAUUUUCGUUCAAACUUUCAGGCCAUUUGUUGAGUUCCCUCCUUGCAACUCGACAGAUACACAUGUAUACAUAUCCAAGGGAAAACUCAUCCGACUCGUUGAGUUGUUCUUCAACUCGUCGAGUCUUAUGGUGAUCUUCAUCGGACUCGCCGAGUGGUUCAUCCAACUCGUCGAGUUCAUGACCAUCUUCAUGUGACUCGCCGAGUCAACCUUGCGACUCGCCGAGUCCAUUCAGUCCUUUUUCCAUACAGACUUGCUUUGAGCAAUGCAACGGAGGUAAAUCAUAGAUCCAAGCUCCUAGGGCAUGCUUUUCAUGUAAAGUUGCAAACUUUACGUGCAUACAUAGCUACAAAGGUUCUAACUUCCAUUUCUAAGCUCUUAAUGGAACUUCAUGGUCAAGAGGGACCUCAAUCAUGACCAAUACAACAACUUUAUGAUUCUAGAAUCCAAGGAGGGUCCAGAUCUGAAGUUACAACUUCAGAUCUAGCCCAUAGCUCAUCUUAUAAACUUAACAUUCCAUAAAAGAACCCUAAAACUCAACCAAUAGAAGAGAUUUACAAGGAAAAAGGCGAUUUGGUUACCUCCAGAAGAUGAUAACUGAGAUAAGAGCUGAUUCCCACACUCCACUUGCUCCAAUCUCCUUCUCCUCCAAGCCUUCUUCCUCCAAAGAUUCUCUUUUCAAGCUUCAAUCACACAAUGGGCACACACACUCACGUAUUAGGGUUUUAAGAGCUCUUAAGGACUGCAAAGAGGCCAAAGGAGGCUGAGGCUCCUUUAAAUAGGGGUGCAAACCCUGGGAUUUAGGGUUUCAUCUGCCAGCUCCUACUCGUCGAGUCCCAAAGUGGACUCGUCGAGUAGGUCACUUAACACGCGAUCCCACCCUCGCUGCUACUCGACGAUUCGAUCGACCUACUCGUCGAGUAGAGCUUCAUCCAAAAAUUCUUAUUUAAAUAAUACCUAGGAAUCGGGGCGUUACACUUAAGUUUUCAAGAAAUGUUCGGAUUUACCCUUUAAUGACUUUUGGGUUCAUUAAAUCCGGAUAUUUUGUUUAAUUUUUUCACAUAUACCCUUUUAAGGGGUUUCAAGUCACCUCUAGUUACUAGUGGUGGUCUUGGUGAUUGUAACACCAUGAGGUUAAGAGGAUGUAUAAAUGUUUUUAUGUUAGCAUUGGAUUAUGUGGUAGCUAUGAUGGCCGUAAUAUCAUAGGUGUAAAUUGACAACUGUGGUAGCCUUAGUGGUCGUAAUCAAUGUUUUAAAAACCGGUUUGAACCGGCCGAUCGAACCGGUUGGACCGGGAACCGGGGGAAGAAGCGGUUCAGCUAUCACCGGUUUUACGUCGAUUUUUGAACCGGAUUGAACCGGCUGGUUUUUAGAAAAAAAACCCGGUUGAAUCGGUCAAAAUAAACCGGUUAAACCAAAUAAAAACACAUAGACAAUACUAUUUGCAUAAUAAACUUUGGUGAUUUUUUUUUUCAAAUCUAUUUAAUUUUCUCAAAAUAAAAACAUAUGGUAAAUAUUAUAAAUUUUUUUGAUGUGUUUGUAUUCAUCUAAAACUAUAUUUUGUUUCGAUAUUAAACUUUAUUUUCUAUUUGAUGUAUAUGAAUUGAUGUACGACACUAAAACUUAUUGUUAUGUGUUAUUUUAAUGUACUUGGAUUGAUCUAUAACUUAUUUUUUUGUAUAUUUUUAAUGUUUUAACUUGUAAACACAAAAAUCAUGAUAUAUAUAUAUAUAUAUAUAUANNNNNNNNNNNNNNNNNNNNNNNNNNNNNNNNNNNNNNNNNNNNNNNNNNNNNNNNNNNNNNNNNNNNNNNNNNNNNNNNNNNNNNNNNNNNNNNNNNNNNNNNNNNNNNNNNNNNNNNNNNNNNNNNNNNNGUGGUCGUAAUACCAUAGGUUGAAACCUUAUUGGUCAAUAGCAACUUUGGUGGCCGUAAUAUUAUAUUGUGUAUUGUUAUUGGAGAAUUGCAAGUUAAUAGUAGCUUUGGAAAUCAACAUACUAUAUUUGCGAAAGAAUAUAUUGUAGUGAAAAUUUGUAUGGUUGUAAUGUCAGUAAGAGUAAUGUUGAUUGAAUAAAUUGGUAGUUUGGAUAGUAUUGAUACUACUGAGAGGUUAUGUGGAAUUGAUAGUAGCUUGUGUGGUUGUAAGUCUAUUAAGGAUAGUUAAUGGUUUAAAAAGGAUAAUUAAUGGUUUAAAAAGCAGCUUAGAGAGAUGUAAAUCUGAUUAUUGGAGAAUUAUAUACUAACAUUUUAUUCGAGUGUACGUUGGUUGAUUGAAUAUCACUAAUGAUAUAUAUAUUUAGUUGUGUAACUAAUUUAUGUCUUGUUUAUAUGGUUACUCACUAAUCUAGUUGUACCUUACCAUUUUGUUAUGUCACNACUAUAUUGAUUUAUGGAUUUUUGAUAUAUAUAUAUAUAUAUAUAUAUAUAUAUAUAGUUGUGUAACUAAUUUAUAUCUUGUUUAUCUGGUUACUCACUAAUCUAGUUGUACCUUACCAUUUUGUUGUGUGUGUAUUUCAUGUUCAAAUAAACUUAGUAGCACCACAUGGAAUUGGUAGUGCACGACUUAGAUUCUUACACGAGAAUAUUCUAAGAUUGUCUUGAUAACUUCUUCUGUUGAUUUAUUAAUAUGAAUAUACACUAGAUUUGUUAUGAAUUGUAAAUUAAAAAUGAAAUUUUUGGAUGUACUUUGUAUUAAAAAUUCGGGUGUUACAUGAAUGCCAAAGAUACAAAUUAGAAAACGACCGACUCAAGCGAAAAGAAGACAAAUCAACACAAGAAUCCAAGAUCCAUAAGGAUGAAGGGAUAUCUAAAGUACCGGACAAAGAAAUACCUAUGAUAUGACAUCAAGAUUGGAAGCCAGGAACUGUAUGGACUACUCAAAAACUUGAGGAUCCAAAGCAAAUAGUAUGUAAUGAUAAUAUGAGGAUCAAUCUUUAUCAAAGGUGAAAUAAACUAUAAUGAAUGGGAUGUCCACACAGUAGGACUAAAAGAGUGGCUGAAAGGGUCCAAAUGGUAUGUUUUGCUACAGAGAACGUUGUUGCUAUUUUUCCUUAUUAACAGUGGCACUGAGAUUUCCAAUGGCUUUUUUGUUUAUAAAAAAACUCAUUCAUUAGAAGCAACUUUAAGAAUUGGGCUAGACUGGUUUCUAGCAUAAGUUCGUUUCAGAACAACAAAAACAUUAGAAGUAGGAGAUGCUUAUGCCCAUUAUAAACUUGAGACUUAAGAUCUCCUCAACAAUCAAUUCAUGAACAACCAAGUGAAUAGUGGGAAGCAGAGUAGAAUGAAAGAUUAUUCCAUAUGAUCCUUCAAAUUCAAAUCGUAAUGCUAUCAAAGCCAAAUGUUACUCUUCUCUCUUGGACACUCAUAGUAUUACAUUGAAGUGCUUUAAUAUAUGACUUUAACCAGUACCACUUAUCAAAAUUAGACUGAGUAUACAAUAUGUACAAGUGAUUGCAAACUUCUUUAGUUGUUUCAUAUUUCGCCAACAGUCACAAUAAAUUUGAUCACAAUUUUUUAUCUAACUACAAAGAGUUGUCCUUUUCCUUUUGAGCCAUAUUAAUGAUAACCAAAAUAAACAAAUAUCAAUAGCAAAUACGUUCGAAUGACUUUUAAAAUUUGAACACACAAAUUUACAUAAAUUUAAUGUCUGACCUCACUAUAAGAAACCACCAUCUACAAAAAUCAUGAAGCCUGAUGAAAAAUGAAAAACAAAUAGGAAAAUAGGAAAUGAAUAGACAAUAAAGAGUGAUACAAAUUUAAGUAAGAUGUUUCUUUCAUCAUUUCAACAUCUAUUAUUUUCGUAUUCUCUUUUUCAUAGUCUAUAAUGGUCCCAUUGGUUUUCUUGGACCAUGGGUUUAAAUGGUUGAAUUAGUGAAAUAUACUUUCAUGUGUAGCAAAAUAUUACAUUUAUGCUCUUGUUGGCUAUUUUAUAGUAAAAAAAAAUUAUUUACCAUUAAAAACACUUAACCUACUAAAUACUAAUCAUUUGAUCAUUCCAACUUCCCACAUCAACAUAUUAUCUCUUUAAUAAACACAUGUUAGAGUUGAUUAUCUAAGAUGUCCAAUGCAGGAAAACAACAUUAUAAACAACAAAAUUAUAACUAUGGCUGGUCAUAAAGAAUGUUACAACUACAAUAGUCACAUUUUAUUGGUCAUACACCUCAAAUGCAUCACGAAGUUAAUAAUAAUAAGCAUAGAUCCUAAAUUUCCCAAAUAGGUUUAAAACCAAUUUAGCAAUGAUUAAGAAUUUACAUGUAAGGUUAGGCAUCAAUAUUUGGUAGUGGAUACUAGGACUUUCUUUGGUAAUCUCAUCUGCAUGAUCAACAAACAUAGUUUGACUUUAACUAGAAUUUAAAAUACGUUUAAUGAAUCUAUAAAUAACAGAAUAUCAGACAAUUUUGACCUUAGAUUUUGUGGUUCUCCAACCUAUUGAGUUGGUUUGUGGAGAUGUGUAGGCAAAUUUCUCAAACGGAUUUUGUAGCACGCUUUUACUCAAACUUGUAACAAUAGAUGGUGAUUCUUCCUACAAUUAAAGUCGUGUUUGUUACACAUGACAGUAUAGGACAAAACAUGUUGUACUGUAUUUGGUAUGUAUUGGACUGAGACUGUGUGAUUGAUUUCAACAAGACAAAAGUUGCAAAUGUUUUUAGGGAGUCGCUUUCGAUUUGAGACGUAUGCAAAAUUACCUUAUUUGUUGUUGAUGUAUGGAUAUGUUGGAUUUCUAGUCUGUCAGAAUAAAAGAGCACCUGCAUAUAGAAAAGUUAUAUAAGUUGGUUGUAUAUCUCCGAAGGAUCAAAGAGAAUUUGUGAUCGUAUUCAAUACAUCCCAACUCCCAACUCCCAAAACAUAAAUCAGCAAAAUGACGAAUAUGCCCUCAAUAACUAUCAAACGGAUAUGCAACAAGAUAUUAUAACAGUAUGAACUGAUAUCAUACCUUGUUUAAAAGCUGCACAUUGGAGGAAUCAGUUGCCACAACAUGUAACCCAAGGCAAUUGUCUUGAUCACUACAAAAAGGGCAGAAAGUCAUAUUAAAUACACAGCCAUCUUCUUUACUCCAAAUUCCUUCAUCACCACUUCUUUUCCAAAUUCUCCCAUCAACACAUGAAAGAUCAGACACCACAACAGCCACACUUGUCCCACCCUUUUCUCUCCCUUUCCAACUUGACACCAAAUGCAAUUUAGAUAAUGACAUUGAUGAACAAGGGACAAAAUAGUCAUUUUCCGCAAGACCCAAUGGAGUGUUACAGAGUGAACACGAUAUUUUUAGAUCUUUGAUACUUCUUGGUUUCAUCACCAAGAUUCAUGGUUUCUUUCACUGGAAAUGUGGGUUUGGGUUUGGGGGAAUCAAAUCAGGACAUUUUGACUGAUGCAAAAGCUGAAGACUUUCUUCUUUUGUGAAAAUGGGAAUUGACACUUGAAUCUAGAGGUGAAUUGGUUUGAGGGAUUUGUUGUUUUUUAGGUGUUGGUGUUGUUGUGUUCAUGCAUUCAGAAGCUGAAGUGGAACAGGGGGAAGAAAAGGAACAAGUGGGAAACUUUGAUUGGAUUAUGGUUGACUCGGAGACAGAUUCAAGAGUAGCAGGGUAACUGUUCUUGAUUGGUGUUUCCUUCAGAAUAGGUGGCUCAUGGUCAAGGGCAUUAUCGUCAUUUCUCGGGGUUUCAUGAACAAUGGUUAAGUCGAAAUCGUCAUCAUGAGAUAUAUUCAUUGAUGGUGGCGAUGGAAACCUGCACCCAUCAUAAGACAUACAUCUGUUACCAACUUCUAUUCUCUUUUAGAGUAAUUACAAGAAUGGUCCCUGUGUUAUUCCCAACAUUUCAGAUUCAGUCCAACUUCUAUGAUAAAAUGACUUUUCUACCCUCACAUGUUUCUUUUUAAAGAACAUUGCAUUUUUGGUCCCCAAGUAUAGCUGAUGUUUUUAAUUUUGGUCCCAAAAGGUUGUCAUGCUAAUUUGGUCCUUAUUUAAGAUUUUUGUAACGUUUUUUGCCCUGUUCCUAGUAAAAUGGGCUAUUUUUGGGAUCGAAAUUGCAAAAAUCACACCCAUAGACCAAAAUGGUCACUUAAUUUGGAACCGGGACCAAAAACAUUACACGAAUGUCAAAUAAGGACCAAAAAUGCAAAAGAAAACCUUUUAGUACCAAAAUUGCAAAAAGCAACCAUACUCAAGGAACAAAAAUGUAAUUUGACUCUUCUUUUUAACUUUUCUAUAAUUUGUUUAUUUUAAACUAUUAUUAGAUGUCAUUUUACAUGGAUCAGUGACAGAUUAGAAACAAAAACCAAUGUUAGGGACCAAUUUGAAACAGAAAAAAAAAAAAUUGGACUGAAUAUGCAACAGUGGGUAUAACACAAGGACCAUUCUUGUAACUAACUCUUUUUAUUUCAAUGAUUGAAAGAACAAGACGCGUAGAUAAAAUAACAAGUUUAAAAUACCUGUUUUGUGUCUCCAAAUCACCUUUGGAGUCAGUGUAAGUUAUACCAGUAUUGCUGUCACUCUUUUUCACUCCCCUAAUUGUUUCCUGAGGUUUAGAUUCUGUUUUGAGGGAGGGGCAAUGAAACUUUUUAGAUGUAAUCGGAAACUUUUUUAAUAUUAAUGUGUAACCUCACUAUGAGAAACCUUCAUCAACAAAAAUUAUGAACCCUAAUGAAAAACCAAAAAAAAAAAAAAAAAUAGAAAAUAAAGAGUGAUACAAAAUGCCUUCAUCAUUUCAACAUCUAUCAUUUCCAUAUUCUCUUUUUCAUAGUCCAUACAGGUCCCAUUGGUUUUCUUGAUUGGUAUUUCCUUCAUACUGGGUGGCUCAUAGUCAAGGGCAUUAUCGUCAUUUCUCAGGCUUUCAUGAACAAUGGUUUAUUUGAAAUCGUCAUGAGAUAUAUUCAUUGAAGGCGACGAUAAAAACCUGCACAGAACAUAAGAAGAUAUAUAUAACCGAAUUUCAUUCUUUUUAUCUCAGAAGUUGAAAACAAAACAGAGCUUUAUGAUCUUUGCUAAUAAAGCAUUUGUAGUUGAGACUCACUUCUUCAAGAAUGAAGUGCUUUUAUACAAAUCAAACAUUAAUACUAGGGGUGUUGAACGGGUAAUUUUUUCGGGUUUCGGGUAAUUCGGGUCGGGUAAUUCGGGUUUUUCAUGUUAGAAAAAUUACCCGUUACCCUACCCAAACUAAAUUCGGGUAAUUCGGGUAUCGGGUCGGGUUUGGGUAAUUCGGGUAUUACCCGAAAUAUAUGAUUUUUUUUUUGAAUUUCACCUAAAAAUAAAUUUAAUGGAAUAAAUACGUCGUGCUUUAUUAGUCUUGUUUAUAUAAACAAACGAGACAUAAACGAAGUUACUCAAGCUUUGAACAUUGAGAUUUUCUACUCAAUAAUACAUGAGAUAUCAAGUAUUUUUGUAACGACUUAAUCUAAUCUAAUAAGAUGUUAAAAAAACAAAUACCUAAAGAUCUUAAUUUAAAAGUUUAAAAUGUUUAAGAUAAACGUAGUCAUAAGUUUUGCCAUGUUUUAAAGUUUCGUCAAGAUAAUGAGUUUGUUAAUUGUAAUAAAAACUAUAAUAUAGAAAACAGUUAAGUUUUAAAGAACGUGAUGAUAUAUAAAAAUUACUUUUAAUAUUGUUAGUGUCGUAUUGUCAUAAUAAAUAUAUUUAUGUUUUAUAAUAAUGAUAUUAGUUUAAGCGUGAUCAAAUACUUGCUAUAUAGUACAAGCUCUAUAAGAAAAAUGAAAUUUUAAAAUAAUUUGGGUAAUUCGGGUAAUUCGGGUAUACCCGAAAUCCAAAAAAUGUACCCUUUACCCGACCCGAAAAAAAAUCGGGUAACCCGAUUACCCGGAAAAUUUACCCGAUACCCGAUUUACCCGACCCGAUUUACCCGUUACCCGAAAAAAUCGGGCGGGUAAUUCGGGUAUCGGGUAUUUUCGACAGGGCUAAUUAAUACACUCAACUUACACUAUUUGUAAUGUAGAGGUUGAGCAACAAGAUCAUUUGAAAUGUGAGGUUGCUGCCAGGACUUGGUUUGAGAUUUUUAAAUGGUUGGAGAUUUCACAAAUUCCUUUUGAUUCCGUUCCUGAUUUGUUUAUGUUGGUGGAUCAGUUGCCUAUCGCUUCGAAAAAGAAAGUUGUCUUGGAUACUGUGGUCUGAAUUUCUAUUUGGUAUAUCUGGAGGUUCAGAAAUAAAAAAGUGUUUGUUUGAGGAAAGAUAAGGCGGAGUGAGAUUGUGGACUCUAUUAUCCAAUUUUCUUAUCUUUGGUAUAAUAACAGGAACAGCAAAUGUAUCAUAGAUAGGAUAAAUUGCCAGUGAGGCUAUUUCAGAAAAAAAUGAAAAAUACACUCAACUUACAAGAGGUGCCAUUGAAGAAUUUUAUCAAACACUUGGUGUUCAUAAAAAUAAAGAACACAGAUCUGUUGAAUUAAGGGCAGUUUUAUGUUAUUCAUUCUUUUUCUUUUCUUUCUUGUCCAGUAUGUGCUAAGAGAGUUUCAUCUAUGUAUUACCAUUCUAUGCACCUUCAACCCCUGAAUUUAUGCAUUAUUUAAAAUAACUGAAUAUGUACAAACCAACCAAAAAAAACUUGUGUAAUUAUUGCUAAGUUAGUCACAUCUUAAUCAAAUAGAAGAAAUGGACACAUCAUACAUGAGAUUACAUGAAACUAGAAAUUCAAUAAUUCGAAUUGAAAUUUUAAGCAAGCAACUCUGAUUACAAGUCAAUUCAAUGAUCAGAUAAUUAAGGUAGAGAAACAUGUACAUGAUUAGGAAGAAGGAAACAAGUGUAGGAUGUAAUCAUACCUAUGCUAUAUAGCUGACUUCAAAAUGAGCCAAACUGCACGUGUGAAUUCAAAUGUUCCUCUAGAACUGCCAUCCCUGUAGGAGAUUACAAAAAAGUGGUAAAUUAGAGAGUAAUGUAAAGUUUUUGUUGGAAAAAACAUUAGUCUGUUAAUAAUAACCAAAGGUGACACCACAUACCUCUUGUUGAUAGGUCUUUAUAAAAGAGUUGGGUUCUUCUGUUACAUGACAAAAUCCAAAAGUUGUAUCUAUUAACUUUAGCUCCGGAGUAGUUGAUUGCCCAUUUGUGAAUACUGUUAUUUUUGGACAAUAUUUGAUUUCCAAAGUAUCUAAUGAUGGCCAUUCAAAAGCCUCCUUCCCCAGGCAAAAUCCCAUGAGAUUUGGAAGGUUGUGAAGUGUAAUGGAUUUCAGACAAGGGAACACAACCUCAGUAGUCGGUCUGGUUUCGGAAUCUUCAACUUGCUUCACAAUCACAUCCAUACUCUUGCAGUCACUUAUUUUUAGCUCUUGGAGCUGCAAUAGACUACCAACCAUGCAACUACUGAAAACGUGUCCAAGAAGCUUACAACUUACAAUUGAGACCUUUGUAAGGUUUGGAAAGUUCAACACUAUCCACCGAUUGCUCUUCCACACAUGCUUCAGAUUAUUUAUUCCACCCAAAGUCACCUCUUUCAGCUUCUCAAAUACCACAACAGAUUGUGUUCCAAUAUCCACAUCUUCAUUUGUCCCUUCUGCUACUUCAAAUA